RNAcentral lists this long non-coding RNA (56168 nucleotides) under Setaria italica (foxtail millet). RNAcentral describes it as "long non-coding RNA (SITA_LNC001565)". Lineage: Eukaryota; Viridiplantae; Streptophyta; Magnoliopsida; Poales; Poaceae. The record is from RNAcentral.
CCAGCGAGGGCGUCGGCGCCGGCGACGAUCUCGAGGAUCUCCCCGGUGAUCUUGGCCUGGCGCUGGCGGUUGUAGGCGAUGGAGAGGUUCUUGCGGAGCUCGAUGGCGUUGUCGGUGGCGCUGCUCAUGGCGCUCAUCCGGGCGGCGAGCUCGCUGGCGAGCGACUCCUGCAGGGCGCGGAGGAUCUGGCUGUUGAGGUAGAGCGGGAGCAGCGCGUCGAGGAUCUGCACGGGGUCCUGCUCGAACUGCACCACGGGGGAGAAGGGCUGCGUCUCGAUCUUCACCUUCUCGCGCUCCACGGUGAGCUUCCCCUCCUUGGUGGUGAGGCGGAACAGCUCGUCCUCCGUGGCGUCCACGCACACGCCGUUGACGUCGCAGAUCUCCCCCUUGGGGGACAUGGGCAGCAGCGUCUGGAUGAUGGGGUCGGAGCGCACCAGGGACACGAACUUGGAGUAGAGCAGCUCCACCUUGUCCACCGCCUCGGAGACGAAGAGCGAGUACACCAGGUCGCAGAUGGCCUGCGAGUCCUUCACGGUGGGCACGCCGCUCACCUCCAGCUCCCGCUCCAGCGGGAUGUAGGGCGGCGCUGGAAGUAGGCGUUGCCCUUCUUCCCCACGCUGAUGACGUGUAUUCGAGGCCCAGCUGCUUGAGCUCGUCGAUGCGGGUGUCCGCCUUCUUGAGCACGUUGUUGUUGAAGCUGCCGCAGAGGCCGCGCUCGCCGGUGAGGACCACGAGGGCCACUUUCUUGACGGGGCGGGUGCGGGUGAGCGGCAGGUCGAUGUCCUCCGUCUGGAUCUCCUGGUUCAUGUUGUAGAGGACCUCCACGAGCGCCUCCGAGAAGGGGCGGGAGGAGACGACGGCCUCCUGCGCGCGCCGGACCUUGGCGGCGGCCACGAGCUUCAUGGCCUCGGUGAUCUUCUGCGUGUUGCGGACGGAGUCGAUGCGGCUGCGGAGCUCGCGGAGGGAGCACCGCACCACGAGGCCGCUGCCGCCGGAGCGCGGGGCGGAGGAGCGCCGCCGGGUGGAGGAGGCGCUGCUGGCGAGCGCCGAGGAGGACCACGCGGUGGAGAGGUGGGAGCACGACAUGGCUGGCUGGUGGUGGAUCCGCGGCGACGGGGAUCAACACCAGCGGCGGCGGUGGCGGAGGAGGGAGUGGAAGGGAGAGGGGCGGGAUGGGAGGGAGGGAAAUGGGUUUGGAUGGAUUGGGUUUGGGUGGAGACUGAGCACGGUGGGGUAUUCAAAGCCGGGGUGAGUGGUGGAGGGGCAGUGACGGCGAGAUGGCGAGGAUCAUGUGGCUCCGCCGAGCUGGCUGCCCCUCCCUGCUCCUCUCCUCCUGCUACAUUUUUGGCUUGUCAGGAAUAAAAAUCUGAAAAACAAAAAAUAAUCCUUUGUGGAAACAAACAAUGGAUACUGGGAUCCUGCUCAGGAUAUCCCACACCACAUACUCCCUACGGCCACAUUUGUAGUCAGGAAUCAAAUGGUUUCCUGUGAAAAUCCUGCAUAAUUUCUGUGUUUGUGUUUCAAACAUACUUCAAAAAAAAAAAAGCCCAAGUUUAGGCCUACCUGGAACACAUCAAUUUCAGCUCAGUUCCCGUGUUAAAAACAUGAGUCUCUCAUGAUUCAAUUUGCUGAGACAAAAUUCAAUGGUGAUUUUCUAGGAUUCUCAUUGAGUCAUUGUUGGUACUGAUGCAAAGUUCAUGGCAAAGAAGUAGUACAGUAUGUAACAAAGCAGAUGAAGCUGGUAUUUCAAGGUAAAGCAAGGUAACAGUACAAAACAGUCUGAGAGGUAGUACAAGUACAAAGAUCAGACUUGAUGGAAUGCAAACUACUCCGGAAAGUAAAUUUAACCUCAGGGUACAACAACAGCAAACAUAUUGACGAGAUCCAUAGCCUAACCGCUUCAGGGUGGAGUCGCAUUCUUUGAUGGCUUGUAGACACUGAAGUCACCGAAAUCCCGCCGUCCGCUGCACCACAGAAGAGGACAUGAAGAUAACAGUAAAUAUCCGAUGACCAAAAGGAAGUGUGGACAAAAGGCAUCAUGACACACAGAAAGAUCUUCCAAGGCCACUGGUACAGGGCAUGACACUUAGGCGGUGUUUGGUUAAGGGGGCUAAAGUUAGCCUGUCACAUCAGAUGUUUAGAUACUAAUUAGGAGUAUUAAAUAAGUCUAAUUACAAAACUAAUUGCAGAACCCCCUUAGCUGAUACCUUGGCCUAUUCUAAGCACCAGAAAGUUCAAGCAAUUAUGUAACCAAUCAGUGCGCAUAGGAAACAAGGUUUUCCAAAAACAAGCAUCCUUGCAAAAGAAAAGGCCUGUAUGAAAGGCAACUAACCUGUGGUUAAUAUUCCAGCCAGAAGGUAAGUAGCGCGGGUGAACAGCUUCAACAAAGACCUGCCUCCACCUUUGGCAGAACUGGUUAAUAGCUUCCUCCCCACCAUUGGAAAGCAAAAGCUCCACAACUUGUUUACCAUGAUGCCCAUGACCCAACAAGGAUAUCUUCUUCUCAGCAUUCUUGGAAAUGGCCUGAUUAGAAUUGUCACGGAUAGAAGGAUCCCUGUUGAGAUAGCCGUUUGCAGGAAUGCAGGCGCCACUUGCUUGCUGCUUGGUAUCUGUCUCGAAUGUCGCAGUGUCAUGACCAAAAGUUGUAUCCUCCAUACUGACUGGCAAACUUGAACCUCCCUGGCUCAAGGUUAAAUCCUCUAGCUGGUUUUCACUCUCUGUCUCAUCAAACUCUUGUUGACCAUUACUCUCAGUUCCAUCCUCAGGAAAUUGCUCAGAUAAGGCAUGACUAUUUUCUGAUCCAUGCCCACUGUUUUCUGAGAUGUUGCUGCUGCUGCUCUUUGUAAUAAUAUUUUGAGCCUGAGCUUUAAAUGAAUAACCCUUUUUCUUUUCAAGACGCCUUCGCUCAUGGGGACUCAUACCAACAAGUAAUGCCAUCUCGAGAUCUUCAGGAGUCACAUCCCUACCACCAUAGUAUGACUUUACAAUCUGCAUAGAAAUGAAUGAAUUGGUAGCAAAGAACUACAGCUAAGAACAAGUACAUAUUUAACCAGGAAAGAAUAUGGACGAGUAGUACAACAUAGGUAUGUUAACAAUGCAAUUUCACAACUCAGGAAACUGUAUGUAAGUACUAAAAGGAUGUUAAAUUGUUAAUAUGUUAUCACCUGCAUUAGCUCUUCACAUCUCUUCAAUGGCAUAGUUGAUCCAUGCCGUAGAAGAGCCAUUGCAGCAGUCCUUAGCUGCAAUGGGGAGACACCUGUUCCAUUCAAUUUAUCUUCAGAUACUGAUGUGUGGGUAAUCAAACUUAUAUCACCCGAGUUCACUAUCUUUUGCACAAAAAGGGGUAUUCCAAAUUCUUCCGCUACUCGCCUCUUGUAUUUCUCAGCUGCUGAAUGAGCAAUUUCGUGACAGUCUACACAGAGAAGUACAAUAUCAUGUGAACGAUGGCUCUUCAGAUGCUCUGGAAAAUGCAUCCUGUAGCAUGAUGGUAUUAUUCUAUAUCUAAUAUAGUGGCUCUUUUCUCCACAUCCAACACAAAUAUUUUUCUUGCUCUGAAUGUAAAACUCAUUAUCUUCAUCCUCUGGACGACCUUUAGGUUCAAAUAGAAGCAUGAUUGCUGGAGGACUAUCUUCAAUUAAUUUUGCCAAAUUACGUUGAACAUACCUGGGAUAGAAGAGCCCAUCAUUUAGACAAAAUAACUCUUCAUUGAUGCCAUAUACAUGUAUAGAUAGUUAAUGAGCGUAUAUUUAAGAUACAAACCAUUCCAGUUUUUUGCGGUCGCAAUAGCAAAGUAGUCUUCCAUCACUAGCAUAGAUCCUGCAAUUGUGAUAUACUGGGGACUUGCAGGAGAACUUUUUAAUGAAUAAAUCCCGUGAAGCCUUUUUAUUAGGCGGUGCUGUCAGCAACUUUUCUCCACUUGGAGCAAAGGAAAACAUAUUUGUUUGCUUCAAACUUAGCUCUGUUAUAAGGUUAUAAUUAUAAACUGAUAGUCGACAUAAUCCACUUGGAUCUUUAUACUUCUCUAGCAAACUUUUAAAAAUGUCAUCCAUGCUGGUAGUGGUGUUCUCCAGCAGAUAGCAAAGUUCUUCAACAUGAGCAACAACAAUAGGUGACGGUGACGACAAGGAGGGGUACAUACUAGAAAUGUUUAGGUCAGUUUCUGCUAGGACAGCAAACACCUCUGUUGGGCCUUUUGGAAGACUAACAGCAAGGGCAGCUAUAGCUUGGUCUGACAGAACAUACCGUAAGCUUUCAUCAUGCAUCCGAGCCUGGAAUGACCCAAAACCCAAGUUAUUAUGAGAUAUUAGGAAGGAAGAACAUACCACAACUACAUAACUGCAGAUAUGCAAGAUUAUCCUGGGUGGCCACAUAGAAAUACGUCACUCAGGCGAGUUGUAUAGCAAGGGGCCCAUGAAGCAAAUGCAUUUCCAGGAAAAAAAACAAAGAGUAGAACUUUCUAAGAAAAAUACUGAAGAUUGUCUGGUUUAAAUUUUUAGCAUGAUCAUGUUAGCGGCGUUUUCAAUAAUCAAUUGACAAAUUGGUUAUCGACAGAGGAGAGAAUCCAGGAGGUGGGUUUAGCAAGGUCAUCUUUUCCUUAACAGAGGAGAGAUUUCUUUGUUUGGUUGGGUGUGUGUGUGUGGCCUUUGUAAGGGGUGUCUUUACCCCCCUCUUUCAUCCUCUUAAUAUAAUAUACACAGCUCUCCUGCGUGUUCGAGAAAAAAUUAGUCAUCGACUCAUCGGACGUAGAUUGUGCAUGGACUCGAUUAGACAGCCUAGUUGACUGGUUAGCCGACUAACUGACAAUUAGUCACCAUCUGCCAAUUUUGAAAGGCCAACUUGCAGCCAGUAAUUUGGUCUUGGUAAUUUCAGCCCAGUAUAUUUGAGCCCAGUAGAAAUCAGCCUAUGUACAUAUACACAGAGAGAGAGAGAGACAUUGCAAUUCUGUUUUGACCUAUUUCUUUGUGUUCUCUACAGUUUCUAUCCCAUGCUUUGCAAGAUGCUAAUGCCCUCAGUAUAUGGUUUGCCUAAAUUUACAGUCAGCUAUAGGUAGCUAGGUAGCCGACUAGGCAGUAGGCAAACUGGGCCAAAUGGUCGACUAGCCAAUCUAGUUGUUGGCUAGUCAUGACUAGUCAGUCCCAGGCAAUUCAACUUGGCUCUUCGAUUUGAAAACAUUGCAUGUUCGGCUCGAAAUCAAAGCUAGGUAAAGAUGUUAACAAAUAAGCAACUAAAAGGAUUUACUUUGCAGAGGGGAGAGGGGGCUAUUCUAAGGAAAAUAGUUGUGUGUUGACUGACCAUUAAAUCCCUCCAUGCACAAAAUUUCCAAACAAGAUCCUGCAAAUGCAGAUGAUUAGGAAAUCAGGAACAAAAAUAUUAAAAUCACUGGUCGGCAAGCUAACCAGAAGACGUUCUACAAUCAAACAGUGAACACAGAAAACAAGCACCUUGACUUCACUAGACCUUUUGGAGUCAAGCCCAUGAGUUUGCAAAUUUCGUGUGAGAAUAGAUGCUGCACUGGAAGCUCCAGGAGGACAUUCAAUUUCUUUUGCAUAUAGUUGCAUGCUGACCAUAUUUGAGCGAUGACUAGCCUCGAAGAAAAAAUUGAUUUUAUCACUGGAAGUAUCUGAUUAGAUAUUACAGCUGAUCAAAGACUUGAGACAUGUGAUAAAAGGCCAAAUGGUACCACCGUACCAAUAUGUGAUUUGAUGUUGACAAGAAAUAAGAAAUUCUUUAGGACUAUUCAAAUCUUAUGAGGGUUGAAGUAUAAAUUUCUGCAGUUCAGUAGUAGGAUGGCAUCAGUACGACAUCACUGCCAUGCGCCUUACUUGGUCCCCUUAAUACUGCUUGCACUUCUUGACUACACAUCAGGAAUAUAUAGAGAUGACCCAUUGUGCUUACCGUUCAAAAGCUUAUGUUGAGAUUGUGAAAGAACUCAAAGAAGUUUAGCCAUUCAAUAAUGAUGAUGAUGAUAAUGCAUAUAUUUGUCAAAUGAAUAUUUCCUUCUUAAAUAGCUCUAUAAGGACCCAAUUACCCCCCGUGUGCGCCGCGUUGAUAAUACCAAGUAUAAUAUAUUCACUGACUGUGAGGAUACUGAACGUGAACAAAAAAAGAAAGCACAAACUAUAGGAAGAGAAUAGUUGAUAUAGAACUUAGAACGUACCACGGGCUUUUGCAUGGAGCUCUGAUGCCAAACAAUUUGCAAUGUACAACAGAUAGUGGGCAUCAGUGCGAGCGUACUCAAUCAUUUCUGGUGUCAGAGGGCGCAAUCUCCAAUCUUCGCGCUGGGAGCGAAACAAAACAGGAGCGGAUAUCAUGUGAUUGCAAUAUUGGAAUUUUGGAGCUUCAAACAAACUGAAAUUUUGAAUGUCAAAAUAAAUUUGCUGACAACAUGUAUGCAUUUGGUUAUCAUUUUCAUUAACGGGUCAUGUAUUCAAUACCAAACAUAAUGCUCAAAGCAAAUAAAUUAGUGAAAAAAUCUUUUUGCAGAGAAACUCAGCUGAGUUUGCUCAAUAGAAGAUAAAUCCAAAGGUGAUGUUGACUAAAACAGCAUGGGGAGGAUGGAUUCGUUGAUGCAAGUAGUGACUUAGCAUAACUUAAGAUGUGACUACCAGGUUGUGAUGGAUGUAAAGGCCAGUUUUUUGGAAAACAAUCAAAGCUAACUGGGUAAAUUGAACUAUUGAAGCCCAUGGAGGGUUGACUAUCGGGACUAUAAGUUACAAACUGGGAUUGGAUAGAUAGCACCUUUAGAAAGAGAAUUUUCAUGGAUCAUAAAGUUAGCUAGCUUGCCUUGCUUAUCAAGAUAUAAACCAAGGAAGCCAGAGAACAAGAUUUGCAUAUGUAAGCCAAACAGGCCUUAAUAGUAUGUUCAGCUCUAUGAUGUUUUUGAACAUCAUUAUAGUUUCAAUUCACCAAUUGGAAAAAAAAAUGGUAAAGCAUUUCUUGUACUAAAAUCUGAUUCCAUCAGGCAGCAUGGAAGAUAGACCCUCAAUCUGCUCCUAUAUUUUUAUUAUAUUUGCUAUGUGAAAACAUACAAAGUAAUAUAGUCAUCAUUAACCGAAUGCACCUUUCUUUAAGGAAUUUUGCAUAUUUUCCAUCCUGUCAUGGAAGUAUCAACCUUUCCUGGAUUAAUAAAGCACCACUAACUAUUCCUUUAGUUACUGAAAUACUAAAAGGUAAUCUAGAAUUGGGAGGCAUGUGAGCACUAAUUAGGUACAGAGCAUAUCAGUGCAUAAGGUCAAUUGGCAUUGAAUAACUGAGUGGCUUUACUAAGCUUGGUAUUUUUAAGCCAAUCCUGAACAAUUACUUACCUGCAUUGUCUUGUCUGUGGUCACUUCACAAUAUAGUUCAAGCAAAUAUGCUAAUGAUUUCUGUGGUUUCGACAAAAUUUCACAUGCCUGAAAUAAGAUCAGUAGUAAACACAAUUGUUUAGAAAAGUUGCAUGCAUUCAUAGCAUAAGAAAAAACUAGCUAAGGGUGUAAAUUCAGAAAUGAGAAGAGGACAUAUAACACAUCAUUUAGGAAAAAAAAAGAAGAGAGAGGAGUGAGGGACCAAUAAACCAAAAUGUUCAAACACCAAACAUGCAAUUAUAAGGUGAUAAAAGAUGGUUUAGUAACCUAGAAGUUCUGAUUCUUAACUGCAAUGGCAUUCGAGCACAUGAUGCAAAGCUUUGCUGUUCAUUCACAAAGCUUUUCAACUUACAGUUAAGAGGUUGAAAUUUUCAUGCUUCAGUAAUAGAAAAUAUAAUGCAUUAUCUGACUGAAAUCUGUUGUAUUGAUUUUUAAAAAGAUUAUUAAAAAAGGAGGUACAAGAGCACCACAUCAUCAAAUAUUUCCCCGCCCUUGGAUCCCAAGAAAACACUCAACAGAUCAUAUAAUCUAGAACAUAAUACAGAAGGCAUUCAAUAACUCAAGCUACAAUCUAAGAAACCAUAAAAGUAAUAAAGAGGAAGACAAUAUUUUUCUGGAUUGACAUUCUUAGCUAACUAGGCACAGUACUCCAGAAACAUUUCGUUCAUUUGCUGAAAAACAGUUUUUCCGUGCUAGUGUAAAGAGAGAAAAGUUACUGAGACAACUGGUUGGCUCCCAAGUCCCAACUAAAAACUAUCACGUGAUACACUAUUGGGGGUUUUCCUUUUUUAUAUUUUUUAGAUGAUAAUAUUGGGUGUUGAUGUUCAGUUAUUCAUAUUUCUUUCACUUCAUUAGAGCAAUUACAGAGUGCAUACAUGUGAUGUGAUAUCGAACAAGUUUGAAAUGACAAAAAAUACUAAACUAUCUGAACAGAAUUGUUCCUUGUGAAAAAUGGGGUGUCAAUCUAAGCAACGCAUGACCCAUAACCAGCUGUACCACAAAAAAAAAGGCCUAGAAAGUGAAUAAUAUAAAAGUAUUACAAACCGGAAAAUCUUUGCAGAAUCAUAAUAAAUGUCUUAACUAAGAUAUUUUAUACCAUUACUUACCUUGGCAGUAUCAAACAUAUUCACAACAUAAAUAUGAAAAUCCCUUUGAAGCCAAAGAACAUCAUUGUCAGCUCCAUGGAAGAUCUAGAAUACAAGGCAAAAGGUAAAUGUGCGUAUUUAGGAUGUCUUACAGUUUACCUUUUAUUCUAGGUUUAGUAAUUGACUGUCACAUAAACGCAGUAAAGGGAAAAAUAAUGUGUUGCCAUCAGAAUGUCCUACAGCUUAAAUACCUCUAAUGCAUAUCCCAAUAGUAAACUCAGUUACAUUUCAGUGGCAUGUAAAUCAAGUUCAUGGCAUCAUUUGCUUGUACUGUAAUAGAGCUUAAAAUUUGCAGUCAACAUGCCCGUCCAUUACAAAGAGUUAAGGGCUAUCAUCAACUCAAGCAUAACAACAAAUGCAAUACUGAAAACGAAAAUAACCAGCUUACCACGGAUAGCAAUUACAAAGAUGUGUUACCUUACAGAUUGAAGGAUUGGCAAACACUGGUCGUAGAAUGCCCAUCACAUCAUGCAAUGCAAUUGUGUCUAUCAAAUAAUCUUCCUUCUGGGUAGAGAUCUGAAAUAGAUAACUCUAUGUUUAAAAAAUAACAAACUUAUAAAGAACAGAAAGUUGAGGGUGCAUCUACCAGUAAUUACCUGCAUUAGUGCAGUAUAUCCUAGGAAAGACCGAACACUAUGUUGCUCUGUAUCAACAGCAAAAGCUUUUUCCUCACCCAACAAUCUUGCCAAAUGCUCCAGUUGAGCUUCUGUAUCAACCCAAUUAUAUGGAGUAUGCAUUUCUGGGCAUUGGUCACCCAGCAUAAAGCUACGAAAACCAGGGGGGUUGUUUAGCAAAGAUGUGAUUUCCUCCUCAAAUGGGUGGACCCUUUGUGAUGAUUCUGUAUCAAUUAAAAUAGACUGUCAGAACCAUAAAAAUCAUCGGACCAUUUGAGAGUCCUACGAACAAUCAAUAUUCGAAGUGCUAGAUAUGCAAAUCUCAUAUGUGGUGGCAGAACUUAUGCAGUCAGCCAUCCAGCUUGGCACCUUUGCUAUCUCUAGAUCCCCUUUACUACUAAUUCCUAAUAACAGAUUGAGUUCCUCAAGUAAAAUAUAAGGCAAUCGCGGUACAAAUAUUCAAGUUACUUGGGCCAAGAUUUCCAGAGUCCAGACCAUGAGAAGGUAUUACUGUUUCAAAUGAUACCAGCAGUAAUCAGGCAUGGCCUGGAGCCCUUCUGCAAGCCCAUAACACUAUGUCAUUAUUCCACUCCGUUCAUCACCAAAAUAGCAUGAACAAAUACAAGAACGCAGCAAACCAUCAUUUUACAUGAAUGCACAAAGCAGCAAUCAUAGGAAGUGCCAACAGGAAGGAAAAUUGAGCACCCCAAACGAAACAUCGAACUGGAAAUCCUGCAUGCAUAGCUACCAGAAUAUGCAACAACCUUCCUCAGGUGUUCGACAAAAUUCACCAGAGACAGAAAAUCAAACUGCAUUCCUCUAAUCCUCUUCUAGCCUCCUGGUGCAUCACACAGCUGGAUCCUACGUACCACGGGUCCCGUGGAAUUCCUAAAACAACCAUACGGGUACGACGGCAAUGCCGAGAUCCCCACAGGCAGGACCAGUACACUGCAUGAGCGCGCACCUUGAGACGGUAGCAGGGACGCCUCGCCUUCAGCGCCUCCCGGCUGAGCACUCUGGCGGCGCAAGUGCUUGAAUGGAGCGUAGGAGUUGUCCGCGAGCACGCGCUUGAACCGCGCCUGCGGCUUCUCCUCCUUCUCGCAGGCGCGGCGGGGGCGCCCCCGCCGCCCCGCGACCCCGAGGCGGCGAGGCGAGGCGGGCGCCCGUUUCCUGCGGCGCCUGCGGUGGAGGAGAGCCGCCGCGGCGAGGACCGCGAGGCACGCUGUGGCCGCGACGGCCGCGCGCGAUCGGAGGGUGGCGGCGCCGGGCAUGUCGCGACGCGUCGGGGACGGGAGGGAGGAAAUGGAAAGAGACCGCUGGCUCGGUUCGGCUCGAUUUUGACCGUUUUGAAGGCGCAAGGGGUUCGUCUCUGUCGGGGCCCGGACCAGCUGACUCGAGCAUCCAAGGGCUGAAAAGGAUUCACAUUCGAUUAUUCAAAUCUCGUCGAAGGGGCAAAAUUCCCGUUUCAUGUAGGCCUAAAUCCUAUCUUUCCAACAAAGCUUCAGGGGCAAAGCCCCGAUCCAUCUUGCAUUAUGUAGGGACAAAAAUGUGUAUAUUUGCAUUGCUUCUCGGACAUGGAUCAGAAUAGUUAGAGUUGUAAUGCUUUAAUUUUUAAGAGAGAUGUAAUAUUUUGAGAAAGAGUUAGGGAGAGAACUAUAGUGUUUGGAGAGAGGUUGCAUUGUCUGUGUGCUUAGGAAAAUAAAGUUUAAAAUUUGGAUCUCCACGUUAUUAAUCGUCCAAACAAUAUCUAAAAUUUAAUUUUAAAAAACAUCACAGAUCAGCUCAGAUCAGAAGGACAACAAAGAUUAGACUUUAGACUAGACCUAAGCGAAAGUUGAUCAGGCUAGGAAAAAAACGAACUUCGUGGUAGACCGAAAAAUCACACCCGCACUUGCUCAUGAGAGGCAUCAAGUCGGAAAUUUUUCGAGCUAUUAUCGUAUAGAGCUCGGGCUCAAGCGGAGCCACCCACUAUUUUUAUAUGUAAAAGUAACUAAAAUAAAUAAUCGAGCUAGGUCUAGCUCGUCUAAAUUGUUUUUAUGUUGGUAAAAUUAACGUCAUGCAAAGCUCUAUUAAAGCUGCAGGUUGGACCGGACUUUGUUUUCUCGUAUCUAGAUUAGAUACUCACAAAGUUAGAUCUUCUUCAGCGUUUGGAGGCAACUACACUCAAAGCACUCUUACGUUAGUUCUACGCGGAGAGCCUUAAUUCACACACGUGAAUACAACCACUCGACCGCAUCUCCUUAUCUCUCCUAGCCCUUCGUCCUCCUCGCAACCCAUUUGCGCUCGUCUCGCCGCUUCCUCACACCAUUGGACACAACCCUUCCCCGACCUUUAGAACCUCCUUCAUCGCCAUCGCCCCCCGCGCGCACCUACCCACACUCCCACUAAUAGCCACCUCCAUCGACCAACGAUGCUUCAUCGCCAUACCAUAUCACUUGCACCUGCAACCCUCCCUCCCUCCCGCUAGCCCCGCUCUUCUUUAACCACUUCAGCAAAGCUUCCUCUCGCCGCCUAUCCUUUCCCAACCACCUUCCUCCCCCACCAUGGCAAGCGCCGCUGCCGCUAUCUUGCCUCCCUGUUCACACUCUCCCCCGCCGCUGGUCCAACAAUUAUAGAUACCCUCCCAAUCCCAAACUUCUAAAUCUAGCCCCAAUCAAUAACCCUAACCCUAAUUCAAGUUGGAACUUAUCAAGAUUUCUCGUUGAAGAAGACGAGGUGCUCGUCGAAGAAGAAAGGAGGUCAUUGGAAAUGAAUCUUGCUGGGAUUUAUCCAUUUGAUUUGCCUUUUCCUCUUCCCUUCUAUUUUCUUUCCUAUUUUGAGUGUGCUUGAUUCGCGCACUGAUUUGGUUUCUAAAUUUAAGGGUUUUUGAUUUAAAUCUAAAUUGACUGGUCCCUCCACUUAAAUUUUCCGCUAGCCUUUGGGCGCCUUUGGUACAGCUCCAAAACCGGCUCCCGAAGCUGUUUUCGCCGGAGCCGAAACAAACACCAAAAACGGAAACGGCUUCGACCGAGAAGCACUCCGGAGCCGGAGCACUUUUUGCACUGCGCGCACGGAGCCGGAAAAUUGGGCUCCGACGGCUCCUUCCCACUUGCGCCAGGGAGAUGGCCCACCUGUUUUGCCAAAUUACGCCAAUUGCCACCGCAAAACAGAGGCGCUAGGCCUUCACACGCGCUUUCUCCCCCGUGCCGCCCCGUCUCCUCGCGCAACAGCAGCACCGGCGGCGCCAUGUCCCAGGGCUGGCGCCCAACGGCGGCGCGUCCUCCGGGCAGUGAAACCGGCGGAUCGAGCCUUGCUGACCUCGAUCCGGGGGUUGGGGGCGGCGGAGGCGCCGCAUCUCGGCCGGAUGCGGCCCUUCCCGGACCGGCGGCGGCCGGCCAACGGCGAGGGCAGCAGGCGGCCGGCCAGUCCGGGGGUGAGACGGCUCAAGCAUCGACGGCAGGCGGAGGAGUGUGGCCCGGCGGCGGCCCCCCUGUGCUGUUGGCGGCGCCCCCCCUGUGCUGUCGGCGGUGGCCUUCUUGCUGGUUCGAUGGCGGGCGGCGGAAUGGGGCCGGAUUGGUGGAGCAGCGCAGCGGCGGCCGCAGCUCUCGGGCCGGAGUGGCUGGCUAACAUAUUGGCAUCGUCGUCGGCGCCGGCGCCGGCAUCAGCGGCGAACGAGUUCGAAGAGGCAAUGUCGGUGCCAGUUCGAGGAGCCUCUGCUCGGCGUGGAGGAGGACGAGGUGGCCGAGCACCUAGAACACCAGCGCCGAUUCCUGCUGCCCCAGUAACCGUCGAUGAUGGAAGGUAAAAGUUAUUGAGCUGUUUUUGAUCCCAGACAACCCACAAAGGGAAGUCUCAUCGAGCUGGGUUUAGAAAUUUUAAGGAAUUUCAAUCAAAAGUAGCUCGGCGAUGCUCAUAUAGAUGAAAGAUUAGCUUCCUGAUUGUGUAGCUUCCAGAACUAAUUUGGACUCGUCGUCCUGAUGUUAUUAUCACAAUAACGAAAUAUUAUUCCCUUCUUUAGAUCAGUUGGUCUAAUAGUCUACAGAUGUGUUUGUUAUGUUUUAUUGGAGAGUAUAUCAUGCACUGUUAGUGUUAGCAUGCAAUUGCAAUGCUUUACAUGUUGACAUUAUGUUGUCUAUGUUUUUUAAAAGGAAAAAUUUCCGGUUCAUUCAUCAUAUCGUUGAACUGCUUUCUACUAUAAUCACUGUGCAUAGCACCUGCCGUUACUUGUUCAAAAAACAGUUAAAUAAGAAAGCCUCAAAAACAUACUGAGUCAUUUUAAGAAGUAAUUAUAUAUAAUUUGAGUAACAUUGAAAAAUUCACGUUCUAGUGUUGACAGAUGAACAAUCCAGGAUAUAACAUUGAGUUAGCAUUUCCUGAAAAAAAAAGUUAGUAUCUAACAUGCCAAGAGCAUAUGCAAAUGUAAACAUGACUUUAUGAAAAUCAUGCACUGAAAUUUGGUUUCCAAUUUCCAUAGCAAGGUUAGAUGAUUGUUUAUGUGUUUUAAAAGUCUUGAUUUUCUUCAGAUCCCAGUAAAAUACCACUUCUGUUUUGAAAAAUAAUUUAAAGUAGAUAAGAUAUUAGAUAAACUUAGCACAACAUAAACUUCUAAGUAGUCAAAAUGGAAACAGCAGGAGGUUCAUGACCUCAGAAAUCCUUGUCAUACAUCUCUAGGUGAAAAUUGUAUGUCUUACUUGUUAUUUGGUGCUUACGGUACUGAUUUGCAACAGAGACGCCGCUUGGUGUGAUGAGAACACUAGAAUAGUCUGUGAGAUUUUUGCAGACGAAGUUCAAAAAGGAAAUCGAUCAAGCACUCAUUUGAAUAAGUCAGGUUAUAAGAAUGUCAUCCAAAGGUUUCAUGAGAGGACUGGUACUCUAUAUACUAGAAAACAAUUCAAGAAUAAAUGGGAUAAAUUGAAAAUUGAUUAUGGAAUUUGGAAGCAACUGACCAAGGAGACUGGCAUAGGAUGGGAUGAAUCAGGAAAAAAUAUAGUUAUGCCAGAGAGUUGGUGGAAGGAAACAGCAAGAGUAAGUGCAAGUUAUUUUUCAUGCUUAACCAUGUUCCAUUAUUUUGGUGAAUGAUUUAUUUCUGUACUGACAAUUAUUCCUUGCAUUACAGAAAGUAAAGGGAUGUACUAGAUUUAAGCACAGAGGGCUCCAAAAUGAGGAAAACUUGGGAAUUAUGUUCGAAGAUCUUCGGAACACCGGGGACGAUCAUUGGUGUGCUUCUAGUGGUGCAAGACCUUCUCAAACAAAUUUGGAUUGUGAUGCUUCUCCCAUUAACCUUGAUGAUGAGGAUGAAGCUGACAAUGACGAUGACAGUGAACCAGAGGAGGUGACACCUUCUAGUGUGAGAGGGAAGAGAGGUAGAGUGGCUGAUAACAAGAAGGGAAAGAAACCUAAGACAAGUGGAGGUCUUUGGUUUCAAGAACAAAUGGGUAAGAUUGUGGAGAUGAAUGAGCGAACAACUGCAUCCUGUGAGUCCAUUGCGAGGAGGGAGGACAAAUCUGGUUGUUCAAUCCAGGAUGUCAUGGCAUUGGUGAAGGAAUGUGGUGUUGUUCCAGGAACAAAUGAACAUUUCAUUGCAUCACUUGUUUUUACCAAAAAAGCUGAAAGAGAGAUGUUCAUGACAUUGGACACACCUGAAGAGAGAUUUGAUUGGUUGACUAGAAAGCAUGACUGGAUGACUAGAAAUGAUGUGCCUAAGUAGAGCAAUCACUGUAUCCUUGCAAUUAGUGCUAUUUAUUUGUUGUUCUAGUUUAAUGGUUUGUAAUAUGUCGGUUUUGUAUGACUUUCCUUUGCUACUAUUUGGAGUUGUAAUAAUGAUACUGUUUUAAUGAUUAUUCUUUGUGUAAUGAACAGAUCUGAUUAUUCUUCUCAUGAGACUGAUGAAAGUGAUUCUGAUGAUGAUGAAUGGACUGUGAAAACUCUUGCAUUGUUGAGGGACGCUCAAAAUAUUCAAUUUAUGACUGCUAUGCUUGCUUCCAAAUAUUUCUUGACAUAUCAUGACAAAAAUGAGAAUAGAACUCCAUCACAGAGUGGCUUUGGUUGGACUAUGGAAAAACUUCAGACUCCAGGACAGAGCCUUAAGAUGUUCAGGAUGGACACACACCUAUUCUACCAGCUGCAUGAUUUGCUAGCGAGUUCAUAUGGUCUUGAGUCAUCUGUGCACAUAAAUUCUAUGGAAUCACUUGCUAUGUUCCUCCUUGUGUGUGGCCAAGGUAUGUCGAACAGUGCUAUCGAUGGUAUAUUCAACCAUUCUUCAGAGACCAUCAGUAGAAAAUUUGAGGAGGUUUUGAAUUGUGUGGUGGGUAUGUGUAAGGACUACAUAAGACCUAUUGAUCCUAACUUCAGUACUACACACUCAAGGAUCAGUAAUGAUCAAAGGAUGAUGCCACAUUUCAAAGAUUGCAUUGGUGCACUAGAUGGUACUCACAUUUUGGCAACACCACCUCCUCAUGACCUCAUAAGAUAUAUUGGCCGAAGUGGCAAAGCGACACUAAAUGUUCUUGCUGUUGUUGAUUUUGACUUGCGAUUUACAUAUGCAUCUAUUGGACAGCCUGGAUCUAUGCAUGACACCAAUGUGUUGUUCCAUGCACUAAGACAUGAUUAUGACAAAUUCCCUCACCCUCCUGCAGGUAGGUUCAUAUUCUCUUAUAGUUGUCAUAAGUGUGCACAUAGACAUAUUUACAAUGUAACUCAUAUAAUUUUACAUAUGUGCUUAGGAAAAUAUUACAAUGUUGAUGCUGGGUACCCGAAUAGACCUGGCUACUUGGCUCCAUACAAGGGCGCAAGGUACCAUGUGCCAGAAUGGAGGAGGGGUCCUGCUCCAAGCGGUGAGCAUGAGCUCUUUAAUCAUUUGCAUUCAAGUCUUCGUAAUGUGGUAGAGCGUGCUUUUGGAGUGUUGAAAAUGAAAUGGAGAAUACUUCUCAAGAUGCCGACUUUUCCAUUGGAGAAGCAAAUGAUGAUCAUUGCCGCAACCAUGUGCCUCCAUAACUUCAUUCGUGAGAAUAAUGCACAAGAUAAACAUUUUCGCAAAUGUGAUUGGAAUCUUGAUUAUGUGCCUACCAUACCAUCAAGAUAUGCACGCCAUCUUCCUUCCCAAAAUGCAAGCGAUACAUCAACUUCUGAAUCGAAUGAUCGAGCAAUGGAUAGAUUCCGUGAUGACCUUGCAAGGGCGAUAUUUCUGUCUAGAUCAUCAUGAGCAUUAUGUUGGCUUCUAUGGUUGAUGCGAGGAUUAUGCCUCAUCUUUUGUAAAAACCACUAUUAUUAAUGCUGAGGACUAUGCCUCAUCUUUUGUAAAAUAUUUUGGGAAAACAUUAUAAAUGGCUUCUAUGGUUGAUGAGAUCUAGAAAAUAUUUCUAUUUAUUUUUUUAAUUUAUAUGAACUAAAAUUAUAAAUGGAAGGAAAACAUACAAUUCAGCUAAACAAUCAAGUCAUUUAUCAAGGGGCAUAUUCGACAUUUGACACCUCCAAUCCUUUCAUGAAAAACAGGGUGGAGCUGUUUUGCCAAACGUUUUUCAAAACGGCUUCAGCUCCACCGGAGAAGCCACUCCACCCAAGGAGCCAGAGCCGGAGCCGUUUUUAGAGGAGCCGGAGCCCUGCCAAACUGGCCCUUUAUCAUUUCUGAUCUCCCUCCUUUCGAGUCCAAUCGGCAAUCGCUCGCUCAGCCCAAAGCAAAAUGGCAGGACCCGAGCCCAUCGGCCAUCGGCCAUGGCUCUCCUCGCCGCUGGACGACGACGACCCCCUCUCCGAGAUCCUCCGUCGCCUCCCGCCGCGCCCCUCCUCACUGCCGCAGGCCUCCCUCGUGUGCAAGCGCUGGCGCGACCUCGCCGCCUCUCCACAGUUCCUCCGCGACUUCCGCGUGUUCCACCGUGCGGCGGCGCCCCUCCUCGGCUUCUUCCACAACACCAACCUCGGCGGCCCCGACCGCCGCUUUGUCGCCGCCGCCGAUCCGCCCGACCGCGUCCCCGCCGCGCUCUUCCGCAUGCCGUGCGGCCGGAACCACAAGGAGUGGAAGUUCCUCGACUGCCGCCACGGCCGGGUCCUCCUCAUCGGCUCGGUGGGCCCCCGCCGCGAGGUCCUUGUGUGGGACCCCAUGACCGGCGCGCGCCGCUGCACGCCCGUGCCCCCAGAUGCAGGAGACGUCCGCCAAGGGGCGGUGCUGUGUUCCUGCGGCCUCGCGCGCGACUGCCGGUCCAGCCCCUUCCGGGUAGUCCUGGUUUGGUGGAUUGGGACGACGCAGCAUUGGAGGGUCGCCGCCGCCAUCUACUCGUCGGAGUCCGACGCAUGGAGCCACGUAAUCUCCGUAGAGACGCAGCUCGCACCAACCGUUCUAGUGACACAGAGGAACGCGCGGAAGCCCGGCGUUCUCGUCGGCGACGCAGUGUACUGGUUGCUUCCGGAGAGCCGCAUCCUCGAAUUCGACACAGUGAGGCGCAGCCUGUCCUUGAUCUCGGGGCCAGUGCACUCAGCAGGGUCUCCCUACUGGCAAUCCCAUCUUGUGCUGACUGAGGUUAAGGAGCUUGGCUACGCCAUGUUCAUGGUGACAGAAGUUAGCAUCAAGCUGUGGAAGAGGGACACUGGCAACGCUGCAGGAUGGUCGAUGCACAGGUCCGUUCGACUGGACAAGUGCCUCCCGAGGAUGCCGAUGCAGGCAAAGCCGUCAUUGCUGGGGUUUCAUGAGGAAAGCAAUGCAAUCUUUGUGUGGAUUAAUGCUGGCUUGUUCUUGAUCCAGCUUGAGUCGAUGCAAUCAAGGAUGUUAUGCCAAGGUGUUGGUGACUUUGAGAUCUAUCCCUUUUCAGGCUUCUAUCAUCGAGGUACUAACUUGCUUUCUUUCAACACGUAAUUAUGCAUUCUUCAGUUUGAUUAUUUCACAUAAGAUGUAUUACGGUGUUCGAUCAUUAUGUGCAACUUUGUAGUAUAUCAGCCAUAAUUGGAUAGCAAAAUGCAAAGUUCAUGUUUUCAUUGAGUUGUCUGAUUGCCUUGAUAGAUGGGCCAACUUUUUAUGGGGUUUUCUGAUGAACCGUGCAGGUUUUAUGUUUAAUUGAGGUUUUGUGUUUGUGUUCAGUUUCUAUCACUUAAAGUUGAUUAGGCUAAUGCUAUGUAUAAAUGCAUUUGUUAAAAAGGUAGGAGGAAUCAUAAAGGGGAGUAGGGGACCAAUGCCUUGGUUCCUUCAGUAUUCUUCUCUGCUCAAUGUAGUUUUAUAGUAAUAGCCUCAAAACUACUACCACACACAACAACAAGGCCUUAGUACGAAGCAAAGUUGGGGCAGGCUAAUAGCCUCAAAACUACCACUGGUGCAAAUACUAAACUUCAUGUAUGAGAAUUAAAAAGAAUUUUAUUGUUUUAUUUACCGUUAGUGGAGGCAGACAGAAAGGAACAGGUUAUGUUUAAUGCUAUUCUGCAGUUCAUAUACUAGUACAGGUUCAAAGCCUAUAGUACUGUCUAGUUACAAGUAUCCCCUUUUCCUCUAUCAUCUAACCAGAUUGAUCUUGACGAACUCAAUGCAGAUGCCGCGGGAACACAGGCAGACGAUGCGUGCAGUCAUGCGCUUCCCAUUGCCACUCUGACAAUGUGGCACUACGAGGACCCUCAGGGAGACUUGCACGGGCCAUUCUCGAUGGCGAUGUUGCACAGCUGGAGGAGCAAUGGUUUCUUCCCUGAGGACUUGAGGGUGUGGAGAACCGACGAGACCAAGGAGCAGGCGGUCCUGCUGACCGAUGCCAUGCGGAUGCCAUGCUAUUGAUGGCGCUGGCGCGUUUCGGAUCCGAGGGUCGCCAGUGGAGCAGUGAGUGAUUUGGUAAUCCUUGUGUUAGUGCCUGCCUGCCUGUCUUAAGUUCUGGAGCCUGAUCUUGGUGAAUUUGGUGGUCGGUGAAUGUGGUUUCUAGUACUUCAGGGAGGCUCAUUUGCUGUUUCCUUCCUGUUACAAACGUUACAGCCAGGCUAUGUAUGUUACCUGCUACCUGCUUCCGGAGUUGUUUGUUAAUCGACUUCAGGUAGUGUUUGGUUGGCUCAAAUGUAAUGUAAUCUGAUUACUGAAGGUAACGAAUCCUAUUAUAUAUGUUUGGUUGCGAUGGUUUGCAAUCAAUUGACACUGUAAUCGAAUCUCUUACCUAAAUAAUAUCUAUACAAGCUUGUUACCCCUCAUCUCCCACCGUAAUCAGAUAUAGCACCCACACAGUAAUCUGAUUACGUUACCAGAGUGCAACCAAAUAAAGAGGGCAAUCACCUAUUCCACCUCUAAAUACAUUGUAAUCUGAUUCCCUUUGCGUUUACAUUACCUUAGCACGAAUCAAAUUUCUCAUGCUAGUUCUCGGCUUCCUGGAUGAUUUAUGUAUCUACUGGUAGUAGCGACCAGCAGGUCUUGUUGCGUGUCGGUGGCGCCUGCUACUGGGGGCCGGAUCUGUCGGCGGCUGGCCGGAAGAUCGAUGCAUCAAGCAAAAGCAAAUGUGAUCUGAGCCUGAACAGCCGAGGUUUUACACGAGCCAAGCGACCAAGGCCAUGUUUAGUUACUCCCAACUCCCAACUUUGACACUAUGCAAAAAGAAGAUUCCCCAUCACAUCAAACUUGCGGUACAUGCAUGGAGUACUAAAUGUAGAUGAAAUUCAAAACUAAUUGCACAGUUUUGUUGUACUUUGCGAGACGAAUCUUUUGAGCCUAAUUAGUCAAUAUUUGGACAAUAAUUCACAAAUACAAACAAAACGCUACAGUGUGCUACAGUGCUGUAACAGUAAUUUGGCACCUCCCAAAUUCCCCAACUAAACACGGCCCAAACCUAUCGAGCCUGUCAGUCUGCAGCUUAUUCAAACUAAGGUCUAUGAUUACUUGGCCCUUGUUCAGUUGACCCCCAACUCCCAAUUUUGACACUAUGCAAAAAGAAGAUUUCCCAUCACAUCAAACUUGCGGUACAUGCAUGGAGUACUAAAUGUAGACGAAAUUAAAAACUAAUUGCACAGUUUUGUUGUACUUUGCGAGAUGAAUCUUUUAAGCCUAAUUAGUCAAUGUUUGAACAAUAAUUCACAAAUACAAACGAAACGCUACAGUAUGCUACAGUGCUGUAACAGUAAUUUGGCACCUCCAAACUUUGGCAACUAAACAAGGCGUUGGUCCGGUGGGCGGAGGUAAGCAUUGGGCCUUGAGGCGAGCUGAGCUUGAGCAGUUGAGGUCUUCCUCGAGCUGUGCUCUGUCUCUGUUAGGCUUAGUUUGGGAACAAGGGAGCCCUAACCCAGGGUAGGAACGUCCUGGAGGGGGAUUUUUGUGGCAAGUCCAUUCCCCAUUCUUUUCCUGGGUGGUAAUUCCCUGUGUGUUGGUGCUAUUUGGGAGUAGAGGGAGAGAAAUCCCAGAGAGCAAAUAAGGGCUCAUAAAAUCAGGAAAAAGAAAAAAAAUCAAUAUAGUCUCCAAUGUUUCGUUUUGCAUGUUCUAUAUAUAUCAGCUAUUGUUGGGUCUGCUGAAUUAGCUAAUGUAAGCAGCUUAAGUCCAAGAUCACGCAACGAGAAAUCCACACCUGACCUGCAUACCAUUUAAUCUUUCUUCUUGUUGCAGGGGAGCAGAACCUCUCAAACAGCAUGGUGAAGAACCCUAAGAAAUCAAGCCGCUUCUUUGGGUCAUCUUUCUCCACCUCCCUGUUUGUUUCUUCAGGCUUCUCUCCUUCAGCUGAAGUUUCAGCAGUAGCAGCAGUCUUAGUUGGAGUUUCAGUUGUGGGGGCUGUCUGCUCCUGCUGCACCACUGCGACGACAGCCUGAAUUUCUUCUACUGCUUGCUCCACAUUCGAUUCUUCAGUCUUGUCAGCAGAGGCGGCAACGUCAGCGUUCUGGGCAGCUUCGCCUUCCUCUACUUUCUCUUCAGCCUCAGGUUCUUUAUCUUUGGAUCCUGUUCAAGGAAAGGAUGAUUGCAAAUGUUCAACAAUCAGGCUGUCGAUGAAACAAAUGCACCAUGUAGUCAGGUAAAUUUCCAGAGACAAUCCCAGAAACAAUGGAAGAUCAGAUGCCUUACGAUGCCUCUGCAGAUGAAGAGCAUCAGCAAGGCUCUUAACCUCAUCUUGACCUUCUCCACCACUUCCGGGUGGCUCUUCACCUUGUCCAUAACUGCACUUAAAGCAUCCAUGUCCUUGUUUCCUUGUUCUUCACUUCCUUGCUCUGCAAAAUCGACACGAAUGCUUAUUAGAGAAAAUGGUAUGUUCUGAAGAGAGAAAGAAAUUAAAGAAAAAAGGGGGACUUAAUUUAGCAUUUUUCAGUCACAUGCAUCAUCUGAAGUUUGGGUCAAAAUAGCUCCUUACAAGCGAGUAACGACGAGAUGAACAAGAACCCAAGUGUUCAUUAGUUAAUUACACUUUCCCUAAUUCAAGCCUCACCAUAAGAAAUACUGAUGAGAUCCAUGGGUUAAUUACACGUUCUCCAUUUUUCCCUUUAAAUAAAUCCCUAGUUACUGAAUGCAAUCAUCACACCCCAAUCAGUGAAUUAUCAGUAAAACACAAAGCAGGGGAAAGAAACUAUCUUCUUACUGAUCAAUUCGACUGGAAAAGGAUUCUUCAAGACAACAGUAAAGAUGCCAAAUCCCAAAACAGAAACAUACUGAGGUGUCAAAUGGGUAAAAUGAAAAUUACUUGUAACAUGGAAAUAUCUUCUGAAUUUGCAGAUUUACCUCAAAUCCUGAUCUGGUCAGACACCAUGGCAAUAACCAUGGCAAAGUAGCCUGUGAUGCAAAAAAAAUUACGAACAUGUUUUUGUGGCAAAGAAAAGAAAAUCUUUGUAGAACAACACAUCUGAUAGGGGUAGGAUCCUAGUCUAUAUUGUAGAGAUCACUCUCUAGUGCUUUCAGAAAAUUUACACUAAUUUACAAAAAGCAAAGUAAAAUGUCGAAUUUGCAACUUAUCUACGAGAUAGAAAAUGCCAAUACAUCAUGUUAGCUGUUACUAGGUUUAAUUUGUGAAUUUACACAUCAUACUAAUCAAUCACUUGCCAUGUAUCACAAGGAAUUCUCACAAGGCUAGCAAGCUCACAAAUAACAUGAAAACACGGUUUAGUGACUAGCAUUCUUUACAAAGGUACAGGUUUGUUAUGAGGAUGACCACAAAUCGCAGAAAAACACAAGCAACCUGAUGAUAUCUGCACAUUACACUACCGGAACUGAUAAUGCUAAUUGAGUCUACCAAACUUUGCACGAAAUCACCACAUGACCUGCCAGAUCUAUUGUUCCACACUUUUGGUCACAUAAAAACAAGAAGAUUCGAACCUGAAGUUGUCAUUCUCUUAGCUGCAGCAAUCUUUCAUUGACGAUCAAAUAGCAAAGAUCUCCCUCCACCAAUUUACCUUCCUCAUCAAACUCCUACGCUCUGUAAACAGCAAAGAUUUAAGAUCAAUUGCAAAGACCAUGCGAGAUAAACUCUGGGAGGAGAGAUGGGGAAGAUGACCUUUGCGAGCUGCAACUGCUGGAGUGGUGGUGAAGACGAGGUGGAGGCGCCGUGGUGGCUGCAGAGGAGGCGGCCGAGGUGGAGGCGCUGAAGCAGAUCAAGAUGAGGAGGCGGACGGGCGGCGCCUUUACGGGAUGGUGGAGUGGCGAUCUGCUUGCCUGACAGGCGGCGGCUGGACGAGGGAGGACGGCGUGGUGCCGCUGCCCGGACGGGAAGGCGGAGGAGCGGUGGCGCCUAGACGGAGGCGGGGCAACAGCGCCUGGACGGAGGCGGAGCGGCGGCGUCGCGGCGAGUGGUGCUAGCUCCCUCGCAUCGCUUCGGUCGCGACGACGCUCGGGGAAGCGCCGUCCGGACCCUCGAGGUGGGGAGGCCUCGCCACGCGGAAAACUCGCGGAUCGGGUCAGAUGUCCCCGUCUCGUGUUCUCCCAAAUGACGGGGUAACUUGGCCCGUGUCCAGAUCUCCGCGGGGGCUUCUAUCCUCGGGAAAACGACGGGAUCCCCUCGGGGUUCGAGGUUCCCAAAGGAGCCCUUACAGAGUUUACUACACGCGGGGGCGGGGAGUUCGGUACUUCAGUGAAAUAGGCGCCAGUUUGAACUUGAAAUGUCACUGAGCUUACGAUCUGAUGACGACCGCCGCCGCCUCCAAGCUCAGCUGUGUCACCAACUCACCGUUGUCUGAGACGCUGUGCGGGGGCCCCGCGACGCCGCCAUGGAACUGGCACGCCGAUCACGAAGCGUCGAGAGGUGCCCUCCACUCCACCUGUUCCCUCCCGGCGUACCCCACGCCUGCCUCGCGCGUGGUUGGCGCUUCCCUUUCCCUCCAAAGCAGCCUUCCUUUCUGCUGGCACUCGCCCGCAGCCCCGCCCCCCUUAUCACUCGCUGAUCGCCCGCGGCGCAGCGAAGCGACGAUGUACAGAGCGGCCGCCUCGACGCUUCGCCACAGCCUCCGCCGCUUCCCCUCCUCAUCCUCCGCGGCCACCCCGCUCGCGGGGGCCGCCCGCUUCCUCGCGACCUCCUCCGAGCGUCGUCGGCUCCCCGCGCCCACCUCGUCCCGCCUCCUCGGAUCGCCGGGCGCGCGCGGGAGCUGCUCACCAGGCGCUGCGGUCACCGAGCGCGAGCGGUCUGCGUCCGCGUGGCGCGGGCUCGCCACCAUGGGUAUGCACGUUUCUGCUAGUACGCUGCAGUGCACACUGCAGCACCCUCUCCCUCCCUCUUUUAAAAACUGUGGUCCAACGGUAAAAAAAAACAAAUAAAAUGUUCUAGAACUUAACUUUUUCGAAUUUUAAAAAAUUGUUGUUCGUACGCAGUGUUCUACUAUUCUCUAUCUGUGUUGAAAGAAGCAGAGUUGUCAUAUUGUCUGGUUUGUAUUUUGAGUAGCUGUACCUCGGAGAUUUGAAGUUCUACUGCUCCAUGCUUAAUUAGGUGAUCGAUCGAGUAGCUUCAAGCAUCCAAUUGGCAGUGACCAACAUCACCAUUGAAUAAAUUCCAAAUCUCGGGUUUCAAUUUUUAAUGGUUGUUGCUCAUGUUUUCAUUGCCACUCUUUAAUCAUGAUCGCUGUAUGUGUGCUGACCGCAGCUGAAGCUAAUAGCGGCUUCGGGCAUGUCCUGACAAGCCUCCCGAAGCCUGGUGGUGGAGAGUACGGGAAGUACUACAGCUUGCCGACCCUGAAUGAUCCUAGGAUAGGUAAAGCUCUUCUUGGCCAAGCAAUGUUGUGGUGCUUAUAUGUGCACUAAUAUGAAAGAUCCCUAUGGAAGUUGUAAUUCAUUUAUGCAUUCCAUUUUCAGAAAGAUUGCCAUACUCUAUCCGGUAUCUGCUUGAGUCGGCCAUCUGCAACUGUGACGGUUUUCAGAUUACAGAGAACGAUGUUGAGAAUAUUAUCGAUUGGGAGAAUACUGCUCCCAAGCUAGUGGAGAUACCGUUCAAGCCUGCCCAUGUUCUUCUGCAGGUGUGGCAGUGUGCAUAGAGCCUUCCUAAUUUUAUUCUUCACUUCACCGUAGCGUAAACUAACUAUCAGCUUUCCUCUCUUGAAAGGAUUUUAGUGGCGUUCCCACUAUUGUUGACCUUGCAAGCAUGCGUGAUGCUAUGGCCCGACUGGGUGAUGAUCCUGGAAAGAUUGACCCCCUGGUAGGCUUAACUCAGUACAGUUAUGACAUUAGAAUCACCAUGCAAGAAUGGUCAUGCGACUGGUCAUCAUCUAAUAUUUCUCAACAUUUCACAUUUUUGUUAUUCACUUGCAGAUUCCAGUGGACCUAGUAAUUGAUCAUUCGGAACAAGCUGAUGUGGUAAGAUCAGAGAAUGCUCUUCAAGCUAAUAUGCAGCGUGAAUUCGACAGGAACAAGGAGCGCUUCGCCUUCCUUCGGUGGGGUUCUAUGGCAUUCAAUAAUAUGCUUAUUGUUCCACCAGGUUCAGGAAUUGUUCAUCAGGUGCAUUUUUUUUUCUCUAGGCUGGACAGUUUUCCAUUCCCAUCUUUUUGUGUACCUUAAUUGUAUUAUGCUUCUUGAGUUUCAUUUGAUGCUAAAUUCUAUUUUUUUUACAGGUGAAUCUUGAAUAUCUUGGGCGAGUUGUUUUCAAUACCAAUGGCAUUAUGUAUCCAGACAGUGUGCUGGGAACGGAUUCUCACACAACCAUGAUUGAUGGAAUGGGAGUUGUGGGCUGGGGCGUUGGGGGGAUUGAAGCAGAGGCGACAAUGCUUGGUCAGGUAAUACACAGAGAUGUUCAUUUUUCGUGCACAUUAAGAUAUUCCUAUUUGCACAUAAACCUUUCUUUUGAUUUUAUCUGAUGCAAUAUUUUUCUGAACGGACAGCCAAUGAGUAUGGUCCUGCCUAGUGUAGUUGGAUUUAAACUGUCAGGGAAAUUGCGUGAUGGUGUUACUGCAACUGACCUAGUCUUGACAGUAACACAAAUUCUUAGGAAGCAUGGUGUUGUUGGCAAGUUUGUUGAGUUUUAUGGUAAAAGUUUAUUUCUGUACAAUUUUACUUCUGUCAAUUUUAAUAAUUAUCACUAAUGGUUGGGUUUUGCGUGUAGGUGAGGGGAUGAGUGAGCUAGCAGUUGCUAACAGGGCAACGAUUGCUAACAUGUCACCAGAAUAUGGCGCGACAAUGGGCUACUUCCCAGUUGAUCAUGUGACCCUUGGAUACCUGAAGCUGACAGGGAGAAGUGAUGAAAAGGUUACUUCCAUUUUUCAACCUAAAUUUACUCACGUCUUCUCGAAAAACAUUACGACGGAUCCAAUCUAUUGUUGGCUGGACAUUCCUUUUUUGGUCCAAUAGUUUUCUUGCAUUGUAAUUUCCUUACAAUAGGUUGAGAUGGUGGAGGCAUACCUUCGAUCUAAUAACAUGUUUGUUGAUUACAACGAGGUCAGAAUCAUCCAAACUAUCUCAGAUAUCACAAGACGCAUAUGUCUAACAUCCAACUGCAAUUUCAGGCUCAAACGGAAAGAGUUUACUCAUCUUAUCUAUAGUUAGGCCUAGCAGAUGUUGAACCAUGCGUUUCAGGUCCGAAAAGGUAACAUUCUAUUCUAGAUAUGCUUUUGAUCUUAUGAUGCUACACAUAAGUUUUUCUUGAAUAUGAUUGUACCCAAUCAUCUUUAUGCUCAGGCCUCAUGACCGUGUUGCUUUGAAAGAUAUGAAAGCAGAUUGGCAUGCCUGUCUCAAUAAUAAAGUUGGUUUUAAGGUGACAGUACUAAACUAACUUGAAUGUUGCCAGCAUCCAUGAUAGUCAAAUAGCCUAUCCUUUACAUGAUUUCUGUUGUACCCAUCAAAAGAAUAGUAAAUUCACUUAGGGUCUCUACAAUUUUCGUUUGGGUUAUUGCAGGGCUUUGGUGUACCUAAAGAGCAACAGGAUAAAGCUGUGAAGUUCUCCUUCCAUGGGCAACCUGCAGAGACUAGACAUGGUAGUGUUGUGAUUGCUGCCAUAACAAGUUGCACAAACACCUCGAAUCCAAGUGUCAUGCUUGGUGCUGGCCUUGUUCAAAGAAGGCGUGUGAACUUGGCCUUGAGGUGAGGCUUCAUUGCUUUCAAAAUUACAUCUUAAUGUAGCAUGCCUUUGGUAACUUUGGUCUACUAACAGGUUCAUCCAUAGAUUUAAACUAGUCUUGCUCCAGGAUCUGGAGCAGUGACCAAAUAUCUGCAGAAAAGGUAGUAUUUCCCUCCUGGCCUGGUAGUUUUAGACCUGAAAUUUAUUUAGCUUCAAAUCUGGAAAAACCUGACUUAUGUCUCAAAAUCAGUGGCUUGCAAAAGUAUUUGGAUAACCUAGGUUUCAACUUAAUUGGAUAUGGCUGCACAACAUGCAUUGGUAACUCUGGCGAGCUUGAUGAAGAUGUUGCUAAGGCAAUUACUGACAAUGGAACUUCAUACUUACAAACUAAUCACAUUUGUUGAUUUUUCCUGCUCGAUUGUACUUCAGAAAAGGACAAAGUCCAUUUUACUACCCUCACCUUUCCGCUUUGUCCAUCUAACCCCCUCAACAAAAUUUAGGCUCGAUUUACCCCCCUAAACUAUUUCAAUUGAUCCAAUGUACCCUCUAAUGAGAUUUGUCUUUUUUAUUUCUCUACAUACAAGUUGAAUUUUAAAUCCAAAUUUUGUGAGUAGAUAGGGAACAUGAUGGCUAGUAGAAAAAUAUAUUAAGAUUUUUUUGGUUAUUUUCAUAGAUCAGGAAUAUUUAAUAUGAAAUUGAUCAUAGGGAUACAAAACUGCAUAAAAAGUAAUGAUGAAAAAAUCAUAAUGUAUUUUUCUGAAUGUAUUUUUCUAAUAUAGGGCAUUGUGUUAUAAGUCACUCGGCAAAAUUUGAACUCAAAACCCAACUUGUACACAAAGAAAUAAAAAAGACAAAUUUCAUUAGGGGGGUAGGUUGGACCAACUAAAAUAGUUGAGGGGAGUAAAUCAAUCCUAAAUUUUGGUCAGGGGGUUAAGCGGACAAAGUGGCUAGGUGAGGGUAUUAAAAUCCUUCAGAAAAUUAAAUCCCAUAGUCUUGGCAUGCACAUCAUUGCUGCUGCAGUACUCUCCGGAAACAGGAACUUCGAAGGACGAAUUCAUGCAUUGGUUCGGGCCAAUUAUCUUGCCUCCCCUCCUCUAGUUGUGGCCUAUGCCCUUGCCGGCACAGUAAGCAGUGAUUUACCUGAUUGAUUCCAUUUUUUAUGGUGUCACCACCACAUAAAUAAACUCUUGUAUUUUGUAUACAUUUGCAUCAGGUUGAUAUUGAUUUUGAGAAGGAGCCAAUCGGGAAAGGAAAAGAUGGAAAGGAUGUGUACUUCAAGGACAUAUGGCCAUCAAAUGAAGAAAUUGCAGAGGUAAAUUCAAAGUUGUUGCACUCGUCUUGUUCAGAAUGUAUUUACCAAAAAUGGAACACACAUUAUCUCAUUAUGGUUGGAUUAUAACAUUUACCAGGUUGAGCAAUCGAGUGUGCUGCCUGACAUGUUUAGGAGCACCUAUGAAGCAAUCACGCAGGGCAACCCAAUGUGGAACCAGUUGUCCGUUACGAAAGCAAAAUGCUUCCCAUGGGAUCCCAACUCUACCUACAUUCAUGAUCCCCCGUUCUUCAAGGAUAUAACACCGACUCCACGAGGUCCACGCAGCGUAGAGGACGCCUACUGGCUAUUGCCUGCUGAAGUUUGGUGACAGCAUCACGACUGAUCACAUCUCACCAGCUGGGAGCAUCCCCAAGGACAGCCCUGCUGGCAAAUACCUGCUUGAGCGCGGUGUGCAGCCAAAGGAUUUCAAUUCUUAUGGAAGUCGACGGGGCAAUGACAAAGUGAUGGCACGAGGAACCUUUGCGAAUAUCAGGAUUGUGAAUCGGCUGUUAAAUAGAGAAGUUGGACCAAAGACAGUUCAUGUCCCUACCGGAGACAAGCUUUUCGUGUUCGAUGCGGCAAUGGUUAGUUUUUCUUCGCCAAGAAAAAAUUGUUGUUAAGUACUCCCUCUGUCACAAAUUACUAUUUGUUUUAGCUUUUCUAGAUGCAUAACUUUUGUUAUGUGCAUAACAAAAGUUAUGUAUCUAGAAAAGUCAAAACGAAUAGAAAUUUGGGACGGAGGGGUAUACUACUCGAAAUGAUUACAGUCAAGUGUAUACUUGUCAUUUUCCGUUGUCUAUCUGACUACAAAAUGCAGCUGAUUAUGAGAUCAUAAUUCUUGUUGACGAGUAUUUCUCAUAUGCUCCUCUCAGUCUAUUACAAUUGUCAUGUCUGUGACAGAGAUAUAAAACUGAUGGACAUCACACCAUAGUGCUGGCUGGAGAGGAAUAUGGCAGCGGAAGUUCUCGCUACUGGGCUGCCAAGGGACCUAUGUUACUGGUAUGCACACAUCAUAUGACCUCUAUUUCUUUGCUGGCUACCAGGAAUUUGCAGCAUGUCUUUGACAAAAUUAUGUCACCAGGGGGUGAAAGCGGUGAUCGCCAAGAGUUUCGAGAGGAUCCACCGCAGCAACCAGGGGCGGAUCCAGAACGGGGCUGCGCCCCGGGCUGAGCUGUUGAAUCACACCUAAAAUAGUCUAAUUUUGUCUCCUAAGCCUCAUUUUGUUAGGCUAAACAGCACAUAGGUUAAAGGGACUCCGUGGUCUCGCCCCGGGCUGCAGCCCGGGCAGCCCGGGCCCUGGAUCCGCCCUUGGCAGCAACCUAGUGGGAAUAGGGGUGAUACCGCUGUGCUUCAAGCCUGGGGAGGAUGCUGAUUCUCUGGGGCUCACCGGUCUUGAGCGCCAUACGAUUAGGCUCCCUAGCGAGGUAAGUGAGAUACAACCGGGGCAGGAUGUCCAAGUGGUCACUGACAGUGGGAAGUCCUUUACCUGCAAGCUCCGUAUUGAUACUAUGGUAAGUUCUCCGGUAAUGUGGAACUGGUAAUUCUAGGAAAACUGCGUGUAGGUUGACUGGAAUGUUCACAGUAUAAUGGUAUAGGUCGUUUUGACUUUUCUAGAUACAUAGAUAUUAUCAUGCAUCUAGACAUAGGGUAUAUCUAAGUGCAUAUCAAAGUCUAUGAAUCUAAUAAAAUCAAAACGACCUAUAAUUUAGGACAGAGGGAGUACAAUAAAAUGCCACAUCACGUUUUCUGAAAGUUACAGCUAAUGAUUGCAAGCGCGUGUGCGCGCGUACAACCCCACUUAACAAUGCCUUUUCAACAAGCUUAACAUCGGUUGAAUUGUAUUGAUUUUCAAUGUAAAUUGCGUAAGGGAAUAACAAAGAUGUUGGUUUUGUAGGUGGAGCUGGCUUACUUUGACCAUGGUGGAAUCCUUCACUACGUGCUAAGGAACUUGGUGAAGCAGCAGUAGCAGUAAACCUGCAACAAAUCCAUGCAAAUUUGUAAAUAUCUGGUGUGUCUUCAGAAAUGCUAUGGUGGGAACAAGAAGAGACUCUUCUAAUUUGUAAACACAAGCCAUUGUAAACGCUCAUGAGCUGUGCUCUUUUGUAUGUUUUUUUAUUUUUCCUGCGCUAAUAAAGGCGUUCUUUGUCUAUUAAAAAGACAUCUACCACCUGAACUUCUUUCUUCCCUGAAGGUGCAAGCGCUGAUUUGCUGAGUCGUGACAUACUCCCUCCGCCUCAAAUUGUUGAGUCGUGACAUACUCCCCCGUCUCAAAUUGUAGGCUGUUUCUGUUUUAUCUUUUUCAAGUACAUAAUUUUUAAUAUAUAUGAAGAUAUAGUGUACGAACCUCGAAAAGUUAAAUGUAAAAUUUAAAGUGGAGUAUCUCCAUUGACUUGCAAAAAAUGAAAUAUCUGUUAGUAAAAUGUUGUUCCUAAUUUGAUAAUUCAUCGUUCUUUUCAUCUUUUGUUUGCAGGGAACAACAGUAAACAUAUCGAAGUAAUUGGCAUCAUGGAUAUAUGAAACGAUGAUCUUUCUUAUGCUUCAGUCCCCCCCCCCCCCUGUUUACGUUGGGCAAGAGGCAAAAGAGAUUCAAAUUGUAUGAAUCGUGUUCAUAAAGAGACGAGACUAAGAAGUCACCAGAAAUGCAUGACCUAUUUGGCGAAGUGCCGGGUUCCAGCUGAUGCUCCUGCCACCUUGCCAGUUUGAUCUGGAUGUUCACUGUGACUUUGAAACUAAACAGAAAUAAGAUGUACUCCCUCCAUCCCAAAUUACUAUUCGUUUUGGUACAUAACUUUUCUUAUACACCUAUAUAUAUAUUAUGUCUAGAUACGUGGCGAAUAGUAAUUUGGAACGGAAGGAGUAUCAACAAAACUUUUCAGAUUGCUGAAUUUAGGCCAUGUUUAGUUCACUCCAAAAUCCCAACUUUGGUACUAUGCAAAAAGAAGAUUCUCCAUCACAUCAAACUUGCGGUACAUGCAUGGAGUACUGAAUGUAGACGAAAUCAAAAACUAAUUGCACAGUUUUGUUGUACUUUGCGAGACGAAUCUUUUGAGCCUAAAUAGUUAAUAUUUGGACAAUAAUUCACAGAUACAAACGAAACGCUACAGUGUUGCUACAGUAAUUUUGACACCCCAAAGUUGGGCAACUAAAACGCAAGCAUCAGAUGUCUGCAAACUUGAACAAAUCACUGCUGCAACAUCACCGGAUGAACAAGCAGCCAAGCACUGUACAAGUACAAGUACAAGCACACGGGGCAACACAUGCACAUCUGAACAAGAACAAGCACUUUGAACUCUACCAUGAGCCACGUGAUGUCGUGAUCCGAUCCAACGGUCCAGCGGCUUUCUUUGGAUCCUUCGGUUAUACUACUCGUCACCUCGGCCAGCGCCCUCGGCCUUCCACCCGCUCAGCGCCCAUCUCCCGCCGCCGCCGCCGCCGCCAGGGCGGGCACCACUCCAGGAACCGGCGCCGCCGGAUGCUCCUUCGCCGCGUCGCCGCCGCCGCAGCAGCAGCGAAGCGCUCCUCCUCUUUGACCCCCGCGCGAGCCCUCCUGCACGAGGGCGCCGCCGGCCGCGGCCACGCCACCGCCUCCUCUCCUCCACGCCGCCGCGGUCACCGCCGCGCUCCGACGGCUGAGUCCGAGCCCCUCACGGCCACCGCAUCGCCCCGCCCGUUCCCGGACUACCACCCGCCCCGCCCCGACUCGCCGGAGGACGACUUCCUCGCGCGCCGCCUCGCCGCCGUGGUGGUCGCCUCGCCUCGUCCCGGCACCCUCCCGCCGCUCCCAUUCCUGCCACUCCUCCGCCCGAUCCACCUCCUCCUCGCGCUACAGCUCCUCGCAUCCGACCCGGACCACGCCGGCCUCCUCCUCCCGUUACUCCUCCUCUUCCCCUCACGCCGCAACCAGCAGCCCCACCCGCACCUUCUCCGGUGCUUCGCCGUCGCCGCGCACCUCGCCGCCGCCCGCGGAGACGCGGUCACCGCGCGCGCCAUCCUCGUGCGCGCCGUCCGCUUCCCUUCGCCCCAUCGGCAUUUCGUCGAACACUUCAUCACCACCUACAAGGCCUUCUCUUCGGACCCCGCCUCCUUCGACCUCCUCCUCCAGUGCCUCCCCUCCGCGCCCCUACUGCGCCGCCUCCGCCAGUACGGCAUUUCCCCGUCGCUGGAGGCCUGCAACGCCGUGCUCUCCCGCCUCCCUCUUGAUGAGGCCAUCAAGUUGUUUCAAGAACUCCCGGACAAGAACGUUUGCUCCUACAAUAUACUACUCAAGGCGCUCUGUGGUGCUGGCCAUUUGGAGGAUGCACGCCAACUGUUUGAUGAAAUGGCGUUGCCGCCUGAUGUUGUCACGUAUGGGAUUCUUGUCCAUGGUUACUGUGCUCUUGGUGAACUGGAGAGCGCCGUGAAACUGUUGGAUGAAAUGGUGGCAAGAGGGAUGGAGCCAAAUGCAAUCGUGUAUACAAGUAUUGUUGCAUUAUUGUGUGACAACGGGCAGGUUUCAGAUGCUUUGAGGGUGGUGGAGGAUAUGGUCCAGCGUAAGGUGAUAUUGGAUGAGGCAGUGUAUACAACUGUCUUGAGUGGUUUCUGUAAUAAAGGGGAUUUGGCAGCUGCAAGAAGGUGGUUUGAUGAGAUGCAGAAAUCAGGUUUGGCAACUGAUGGGGUGACAUAUACCACGCUGAUCAAUGGGCUUUGCCGGGCUGGUGAGCUGAAAGAGGCAGAGAUGUUGCUUCAGCAAAUGUUGGCCAGGCAGUUGGAUGCCGAUGAGGUCACAUACACAGUGCUCAUAGAUGGGUACUGCAAGAGAGGGAAGAUGGCAGAGGCCUUUCGAGUGCAUAAUACAAUGGUGCAGAGAGGAGUGACACCGAAUGUGGUGACAUACACAGCUUUGUCGGAUGGACUAUGCAAGCAAGGGGAUGCUCAGGCUGCUAAUGAGCUAUUGCACGAGAUGUGUAACAGGGGGCUUGAGCUGAAUGCUUGCACAUACAACUCCCUGAUCAAUGGCCUAUGCAAGUCUGGCAAUCUGGAGCAGGCCAUGAGGACUAUGGCAGACAUGGAUACAGCGGGUCUUAAGCCAGAUGUUUACACAUACACAACUCUUAUUGAUGCACUCUGCAAGUCAGGGGAGCUUGAUAGGGCUCACACCCUCUUGCAGGAGAUGUUAGAUAAAGGAAUUAAGCCUACUAUUGUCACUUAUAAUGUUUUGAUGAAUGGUUUUUGCAUGUCAGGUAGGGUAGAAGGAGGAAAGAAGCUGCUCGAAUGGAUGCUAGAGAAGAACAUCCGCCCUAAUGCAGCAACCUACAAUUCUCUAAUGAAGCAGUACUGCAUUGGCAAUAAUAUGAAAUCUGCCACUGAGAUCUAUAAGGGGAUGAAUUCUCUGGAGGUGGCGCCAAAUGAGAACACGUACAAUAUAUUGGUCAAGGGGCACUGCAAGGCAAGAAAUAUGAAAGAGGCACUAUAUUUCCACAAGGAAAUGAUAGAAAAGGGUUUCAGACUUACUGCAACCUCAUACAGUUCUCUUAUAAGAUUGCUGAAUAAAAAGAAGAAAUUUAUUGAGGCAAGAAAGCUAUUUGAUGAGAUGAGGAAGGAGGGUUUGACAGCUGAACCAGAUGUAUACAAUUUUUAUAUUGAUUUCAAUUUUAAUGAGGAUAAUUUGGAGUCAACUCUAGCUCUUUGUGAUGAACUGGUGGAAGCCAGUAUCGUGAAAUCAAGAGCUGAAAUGGAUCAAGAUGUUGUAAAGGAACAUAUACAUUAGGAACAUUAUUUAGGCUGGCGAUGUAAUGCUAGCUUCUUCUAGAUCGUGUCUAAUGUGAACACACGAUCCAGACUAUGUACUGCCCCUUUUCACCAUGCUAAAGCUGACAGUUGAGGUACUAAUGGUUUCUUCUAAUCAUUUAAAUUGGUUACACGUAGUAGUUCUGUGUUCCCCUGCAUUUUCUGAUGUUUGAUGACACUAUCCUUUAACUACAGCAAUCAUGACGGUCUUCCAGAAGAUGUUCAGCAGUGUAGAUGGAAAAGCACGUUGUGGUGCUGGUGCAAUUUGCAAGGUGGAGGACAUUUCCUUCAAAAAAAGGGUGGAGGACAUGCACAUCAUUGUUUUUCUUUCCAAGUAUCAUGUCUGGUCCUUGUUCCUGUGUUUUCCUAUAUCAAGAUUAAUGAUGCAUCCAUUUGUUAGUUUGAUACUUGCAAAAUAAAUAUGAGUCACCUAGGGCAUUGUUAGAGCAUCUCCAACAGCAUAUGUAAAACUCAUGAUCUAAAAACACUUUUAGGUAUAGGAGAGAGAAAAAUUUAGGUACUCCAAAGCUGCCUUCUCCAACAGCAUAUAUAAAACUGGUGACCUAUAAUCCUUUCAAGGGCUAAUCUGCGAAUGAAAUUUUUAUUUAGGGUCACUCUAUAAACUUGACUUAUCUUCUUCUUCCCCUCCUCCCCCUUCUCGCCAUCACUACUCCCUUCUUCCCUACCUUGCCGCCGUUGCUCCCUGCCUCGCCACCGUACCGCUCUUCUUCUCCCUUGCCCCCGCGCCGACGCUGCUAGGCCGGCGGAGCUCGUCCGCACGAUGGCGUUUGCCCGCCCGUCCCGUGGCUAGGCCGGCACCGCUCGCUCGCGCAGCGGCUUUUCUGGGCUGGCGGAGCUCGCACGCGCGGCGGCGCUCGCCCCUUGAGGUCUCCCGGUGGCACAGGAUCAACGAAUCAAGCUCCAAUCGCAGGAGGGAGGCCGGCGGAGCUUGGCCGCAGCGGCGCCAAAUCGAGGAGCCGUUGCCCCCAAAUCGCCGCCGAAGGUAGAUUGGUGGAGCCACGCCUGCUCGGCGCACGCCUGCCCGGGGGCUGGGGCGGCGGAGCCUCACCCGCACGAGUCGUAGCGCCGUCCGUGUUGCAACUCGCCGGAGCUCAGGAACAAGAUGAGAGCGGCGGAUUGUGCGGCGGAGGGGUGGAAGGCAAAUCGGUGAUGGAGGGGUGUGGGUAGGCCAGCAGUGAGGUCAGCUGUGAGGUCCAGUGGCCGGAGGAGUCACCAUCGGGGAGAGCGUGGCGGCGGAAGCGUCCAAAGCGAGGUAGUUGGCCUUCCCGCAUGAGUGCUUGCAGUUUUACCAAUCUAGUGUUGGAUUGGUAUAUUUGCAUAUUGGAGAGAGAAAUUUAGGUCAUAGGCUAAAAAGUUUAGGGAUAGCAAUCCAUAUAGCAAAGCAGUUGGAGCAGUUUUUUUGGCUGUUUUAGGUAUCCUGGCAGUUUUGGGAUAACAAUCUAUUUUACAUAAGCUGUUGGAGAUGCUCUUAGAUGCACAUAUUGAUUACUUCACAUAUAUCCAUGUCCUGCUUCAACUUCCACUCAUGCUUGUGUUGCUAUUGCUACUGACACCAUGUUGAAGUUUAGAACCAGUGCUUCUUCAGAGCUGCUCGUGUUCCGGUGUUAUUUUCUGCAAAAAAUAUAAACUAGAUCUACUUUGCUUGGAUUUAGUCUCCUUUUCCUUUCAGAUUAAGGGUUACUCUACUAGGAUACUUUUAGCGAUAUUUGUUUGGCGUUGCAAUGAGCUCACUGACCUUUAAGCCUCUGCCUUGCAGGAUAUAGAUUGUUUGGAAACAAAGAUGGUUGUUAGGCUGUGAACGAGUGAGUUAAUCGUCGUCACAGGGAGUAACCAGGGCCUAAGCGGCUACGUGUGAUGCCGAUAGGUACAUAAACUACAUAUCGGAGGAACAGGGACCAAACUACUGGCAGAACAGGAGACUACAGAGAUGUCGAGGCUGAUUUUGAGAAAAAUAUGUUAGUAUGCUCAGUUUGCAUACACCAUCCCUCCUCAAAUCCUCAAAGUUACAGGACCCGCCUCAGCUUUAUUGUUCACUGGCUUGGACCUUCAUUUGUACUUUGGAGAAAUGGAUCAAAUGAGACAGGGAACUCAGUUUCUCUGAGAAGCAAAAAAUGCAGCACCAGAUGGGUUUAGCUGUUAGAAAUCAGGACAAUUCAAUACAAAGCCACGUGUGGGAAAUAUACGGCUUGGACAUGAAGAUACAGCUUUAGUGUAAGAAUAAAUUUCAUUCUGAGAAACAAUGUAUGAUUCUUUCCCCUGUAUCUAGAAAACGAAGGGGAACAAUACAGAGCUUUUUCAGCGGAUGUGAUACGUAUUCAUUGUUUCCUCGCAGUUCUAGAUUGCACACGUCCAAUUUAUAUCAGCUGUCCAAGUAUAUAUAUGAAUAUUUAUUGAAUGCGUACAAAAUGUAACCUACAUUUAUUACUUUUCAUCUCUUAGGGAGAAGAAAAGGAAUGAUUCUUGUUUGGGCUUAUUGUUGCGGGCUAUAUGAAAGGCCCAAUCUCGAAGCCUUGGGGGGGAAAAAAGACAUCUGCAUCCCCUAAACCUCGCAAAAGCCCAACCCAAACCCUAGCACCCCGCGAACGGCAACCUCCCUGGUCCGAUGGAUUUCGCUCACCGGAAGGCGGCGGCGCUGGCCGCGCUCUCCUCGCCGGCGCCGGACAAGUCCCCGAAGGGCGGCGUUGACGCUCCCAUCGCCCCGCUCCUCGAAGUGCUCAACUCCCAUCCAGACCUCUUCACUACCUCCUCCUGCUCCGGCCGCGUUUCCGUCCUCGCGCAGCCGCAGGAGGGCCAGGGCCAGGGCGCCGCCAAGCCGAAGAAGAAGGCGCGCGGCGGCGGGUGGGUGUACGUGUCGCACGACCCCGCCGAUCCGGACGCCGUGGUGAAACAGCUGUUCGGUGGGAGCGGCUCGGGAGCGGCUGGGGACGAGCUGGUGUUCAGGUUCGAGCCGAUGAUCGUGGCGGUGGAGUGCAGGGACGCCGCCGCAGCUGCGGCGCUCGUCGCCGCCGCGAUCAGCGCUGGUUUCCGGGAAUCAGGUGAGCUGUCCCUUUAUUGGCUCAGUAAUUCAGUAUGUUGGGUAGAGCUUUGUAUUCCUCGAACAACUUAGCAUUGCAUCCUUUCAAUCAGUGUUUUGCACAGUAUUCAAUACAUGGAUAUGUGGAGUUAUUUCUGAAUCCAUCUGUGAUUAAUCACAUGGUUCAUUUUAGUCAGUUACAUAGGGCAGUUUUAGAGAUAUAUGAAUAUAGUAAAGUAACUCAGUGUGAACUGUCAACGUCUGUCUACCAUGUAUUGCUGAGGUUUUAUAUUAGGUUUCACUUGUCUUGAUGUUGCUUAUCUACGUGAAUAUCAUAUUAAGUUAGUUUAAAAAUUGAUUAAUCUCAUUUUUAGGUAUCACAAGCUUGCAGAAACGUGCAAUGGUGGCAAUAAGAUGCUCGAUUCGUAUGGAAGUGCCAUUGGGGCAGAUUGAUGAACUUGUUGUUUCUCCGGAGUACAUCCGUUACCUUGUCAGAAUUGCCAACUGUAAAAUGGAGGCAAACAAAAAACGAAUGGAUGGAUUUCUAGAUCUUUUGCAGACUGAGGUACUGAGCUAUUUUGAAAUCAAUGCUUUUGUUACUAAUAGUUACUAUUUGUCUUAUUGUAUUCCUGGCACUGUUGCUCACUUUUUUGUUAAGAGUAUGCAUGACAAACAUAUGUUUCGAAUCUUUGGAUAUUAUGUAAGUCCAAAAAUGUUUUUUUGAUGAAUGUUCAUUAGGCGAAGAAUAAACUCGGAUUGUGUUUAAUCAAUGGAACCCUACUCUUAAUAGAACCUACUUAAUGAGCUGAGUAAGAUUUUUCAAGCAGAUGGAAACAUUUACUUCAUCUUGAUUUAUAAAUACUUGUCCAAUAAGUUAUUUAUCCAUUUAUACAUUAUACAUUUCCUCACAAUUUCUAACUUCAAUCCAAUCCCUCUCUUCACAGAAAAAAAUAUAUAUUGUUCUGGAAGUUUGUGUAUUGCCCAAAAUUCAACUUUGACUAUCAUGAUGACCUUGAUUAUUAUCACGUUCCCAGAAUUUUUUUUAACAUGUUGGUUCCUAUCAAACUGCCAGGGUUUGUCAGGUUCGCCAGGGUUGUUAAAUAAUUGUAACGGAAGUAAUAGUCAGACUGUUGAUCACAGGGCUUCCCUGGGUUGUGAAGUUAAGAUAUCAUUGGAUAAAGGUGCCAAGAAAAAUAAUGACUUAGUUACAAAAAGGAGAAAUGGUGGUAAAAACUGUGAUGCUGAUGACAGAGGUGAUAGUGAAAUCGGGGAAGGUUCACUAGAAGCACAGUAUUUUGAAAAUCAAGACCCUACAUGGAGCAAGGGCGCCGAGCAUGGUUUUGGUAAUGCUAAACGGCAUGUUCUCUUAUCUCACCUUUUCUUAUCUUGUUCUUCAGUUUUUCAUAGAUUGGUAUUUAAAUUUAUUAGUCUGUUCAGCCUGAAAUGGCUGUUUGACAAAACUUGUUUUCUUCAAAAAGGUGCAUUGCAGUACAUGCUACGGUUCUAUGUUGGACCGCUGACUUGUUUUCCAUGUUUGUAUAUAUGUUAAUGCUUUAAAUACUAUCUUGUUGAACAUUAGCUGAACUAAGAGAGAAAUCAUUUUCCAUCUUAUUUUUAGUAAAAAUAUUUUUUUCCUUGUAGCAGAUUAGGUGAUGGUAUCAUGUUAUUAAACCAUGGUUUUCCUGCACUAUUUAAUGAGUUGGUGGUCCUGCACCAAUUUAGGGUACUUUAGUUUUCUGACCAAAAUCCAGUAGCUCUGAGCCUUUGACUGAAUAUUGUUUAUUUGUCCUGUUAUGUUCUAUAUAGAGUAGUGCUGGAGGAGAAGUUGCCCGGAAACAAAAAGUAUCAUCUAUCUACUGCUGCAUUGAAGAUUAGUGGAGAACCAAUCGAGAAGCUCUUAUUAUGGGGCCAAUCAUCUUGUGUGUUUCCUGUUGGAGGAGAGCAACGGGUCCUAACUUUUGGUGGUUUUGGAGGACCAGGAAGGCAUUCAAGGAGAAACUAUUCCCUUCUGCUUGAUCACAAAUCUGGUUUGUUGACAGAGAUGAUCUUUAAAGAGUCUCCUUCACCACGGAUGGGCCAUACGGUUACUUCUGUUGAUAAUAGCACCUUUGUUAUUGGAGGUAGGGGUGGUCCUUCAGAAAUUCUUGAUGAUGUCUGGGUCUUACAAAGCACUGAGAAUACCUGGUUAAGACUGGAGUGCAGUGGAAAUAUCUUCCGCCCAAGGUACUGUUUAGAUUAAACCCUUGAUCCCCCUUCCACCUUUUCCUUUACAUGAUACGUGCUUGCCAAAUGGAGACUCAAAACGUCGGUGGUAGAUUAAUUAGUGUUCAAAUUUUGUUUCUGUGACAAUUCUUUUCAUUUUUUCUGAAGCAACCUCUGAAUAUGGCAGGAAGUUCCUGCAGUUCACUCUAGGUAGAAAAGAGUUGGCCCAUUUCUGUUCAUUGAAGUUUUCUGUUUCUUUAUGUAGGCACCGGCAUGCUGCAGCUGCAGUAGCUUCAAAAAUAUAUGUCUUUGGUGGACUUAGUAAUGAAGGCUUAUAUUCCUGCAUGAAUAUACUUGACACGAAAAGUAUGGAAUGGAGCAUGGUUGCUGCUGCUGGCGAAUGGCCGUGUGCUCGACAUUCACAUUCUCUGGUGUCUUAUGGUUCAAAGUUAUUCAUGUUUGGAGGUCAUGAUGGUCAACAUGCACUGAAGGACUUCUACAGUUUUGAUACAACAACACUUGAGUGGAACAAGGAAAGCACAUACGAGGGAACUCCAUCACCUAGGUUUUCACAUUGCAUGUUCAUCUACAAAAAUUAUCUUGGGAUACUUGGGGGUUGCCCUAUUACAGGAAACAAUCAAGAAGUUGCAUUGCUAAACUUAAAGCAUGGAGUCUGGUUGUCUGUUUCCAUUCCCUUGUUGAGCCAGUGCCUCUGUGUCCGUAGUUCAUCGAUUGUCAUUGAAGAUCAUCUUGUUAUUUUAGGUGGUGGUGCAUCUUGCUAUGCAUUUGGGACCAAAUUUAAUCAACCAAUAAUAGUUGAUCUGCAUUCAGUGGACUCUAUGUUUAAACAUGAUGACAAGAAGGAUGGCACGCCUGUACAAAGUUGUGAUGCAAUCCCUACUGUUGACUUAUCAAGAGAUGAAAAAAAGGGUCAUGAUAAGUCACAAAAUGAUUCUCAUUCUGGUGGUUUUACUGAUUCAGGCCCUCUGGUUCUUCAACUGGAAAAGAAGUAUGCUAAAUUAGCAAAGGACAUUCUGAAAAAGUUUGGAUGGUUGGAUCUUGCUAGAAAAGUUCGAGUGAGCCAUGAUAACAGCCAUGUUCUUUUUCCUGUCAAUGAAGUCUUCCAUGUCCUAAAUACUGAUGACCACAUGAUGAUGGAACAUAAGUCAUGUAACCUUGAUGAAACGUUAGCAUUUACUGAAAAGAAGCUUGCGGGAGAUAACGUAUCUCUUCAAAAUGCAUUAAAAUUUUUGUCAUCUUGCAAUGGUUCCUUUUUGAAAGAUGAACUAGCCAUCAGCCGAAAGCCUUCCAAGUCUCCUCAAAACAUCAUGAAGGAACUUGUAUCUUCUCUUCUAGAAACUAAAGGAAUGCCCUCUCAGUUGUUGGAGCAGCUCCCAGCAAGGUUUGUUUUCUCUGAUGAGAAUAUCUAUUGCUGUUACGACUAUGGAUUUGCUUAAGUUUCAUUCUUAUGUGUAGGUGGGAGAUACUUGGUGACAUCAUCAUACUCCCAAAGACAUGUUUUAAGGAUCCAUUGUGGGAAUCGGUUAGCGAGGAACUCUGGCCACUAGUUGCCAAGUCACUCGGCGCACAACGUCUUGCACGUCAAGUAAGUGCUGGCUGAAUUCUUGGUUUCUGUUUUCUAAGUUAUUGGAAAUAGGAAUAAUUACCAUAUUAUUGUGAAGCUCAACGCCUAUUUGUGUAGCUAAUUGAUAAUGUUUGUUGUCCUGCUGUUACUCUUAAUUAAAGUCAGUAUCUUGUAUGGUGUCUCAUGCUUAAUUGCAUCUCAAUAUUAGAUAGUGCUUUUCUAAUAGUUUGUAACUAGUGGCAUGCAUGUGGUUACCCUGCCAAGCAUUUUUUUCUCUGGGGAUUCUAUAUAAUUUACUCCGUCUGCCCCCUUUUGUGCAGGGUAAAAUCAUACCAAAUGGUACAAGAGAUAGUACACUGGAACUUCUUCUGGGUGAUAACGGAUGGGUUACCCAUCAUGAAAAUGGCAUCUGUUAUUCACUUGAUGCAACAAAAUGUAUGUUUUCUUCUGGUAACCGUUCGGAGAAGCUUCGCAUGGGACAGCUUGACUGUAGAGAUGAGGUGGUUGUGGAUUUGUUUGCUGGAAUCGGAUACUUUGUUCUCCCAUUUCUCGUGAAGUAUGUUCUCUGUGAUAACCUUGGUCUAACACAUUCUGAUUAUACAAAAAUGCUGUUCUAAAUUUCUUACUCUUGCAGGGCUAAUGCUAAGUUCGUUUAUGCAUGUGAAUGGAAUCCACAUGCUCUGGAGGCUCUUCGACGCAAUGUUUGUGACAACCACGUACAGGAACGAUGUAUUAUACUCGAAGGAGAUAACCGUGUGACUGCACCCAAAGUAUGUACUGGGCAAAUUUCACCUUUUUGCUAAUACAUGAACUAGGAUGGUUCCUGACCUUUCUUUUUUCAUGCUGGACUUGAAUUAGGGUGUUGCUGAUCGAGUUUGUCUCGGAUUGUUACCCUCAAGUGAAUGUAGCUGGGCCACUGCUGUUAGAGCUUUAAGGUGAUCCCUCCGCAUCACUGAGUUGUUUCAAUCUUGUUUAUUUCGUUGUGUGUUUCUCAUAGUAUUCCAUAAAGAUGUAAAUGUAGAGGCCUAGGUAAGCUUGUCUUGGCCUGCUCGCAUGGGGCCAACUGAGUUUAUUGUUUCUGUUGCACUAUCAGCAGCAGCCUUCAACAGUCAAGGAGAUUAAGUAUUGUUUGAGCUGGUUUUGUGAGGAUUCUAGUUGUGUUUCAGAGUCAGUUGGGAAUUGGAUGUACCUGUUACCUUUUGGAAAGUUGUAUCUAUUUUAGGAUUGGUUUGUUCAUCAUGCUCAGCUAGGAUAUCGAGUCCAUAUAAAUCUGGAUAGUCCUUAUAAACAAUAGCAUUUUACCCUGUUUAAACAAAAAAAGGUUUCCCUAUUAUAAUUGUUAUUGAGUUAUUCUCAAGCCCUCUAGCUUUUCUCUUCUGCGCCUGCUGCCCUUUUGUAAUCGCCAACCAUACCCACCUGUUUGUAAGUGCCCACAACAAUUUCCCAUCGAAAUAUUUUUUCAGAAGAUUCUAAAUGUUCUUUAAAUUCAAACCCAGCUUAGAGGCGCUAGUCUGACAUAUUCCAGAAUGCUUACUGCUUACAUGCUAAUUUUUGCAUGCUUCCAAUAAUAAUCAGUAGCAUACUGUUAGGUUGUCUGCACACUGAAAAUGCCUGCAUAGUGUUGCUUUCAGUGUGCCACGCAUUGACAUGCUGAGCUGGUAAAGAAGUGUUGAAAUAGUGAAUAUGUGGCCUCACAUGAAAACAAGUUGUCUUUUCCAUUGCAUGCAAUAUGAAAUUGUGGGCCAAAAAGGAGAACACCCCCCCCCCCCCCCAAAAGACAUCACAUCUAUCGUAAAGGUGGGGACCUGUUUCCUUGGACUGUUCGUGGGAUGUUCUCUAAAUCUCGUAAAUGUGAUGACUAUUUUGCGCUAAUGCCAGAGUUUUAUGGUUGAUACAUGAUGCAUGAUCUGUUCUUUAGGAUAUGCUAUAAUGUUGCUUUGUUAGAAUUAUUAUUACAUUAUUGGUCUUGUAUUCAAAAUGCCCUUGUUACCAAAGUAGAUUCUGGAUUAGAGUUUGGUAUUCAGGAUGUAGAAGUUUUUAUAGGGCUAAUGUUGGUGUCUUGUACAUUUUUGUUUAUGAUACGACAAGAUCCAUGAAUUCAGUUAGCCUGUGUCUCAGUGGCUUGAGUGAGAACAGUAGCAUAAAUGCGAUCAAGCAAGCCUUACCUUUUAUGCUUAGUGCAGUGACUACACAAAGAUUAGUAUAUUUCAAAUGACUUGACAUAGUUGGCUUUGGUUGUAAUGAGCAGCCCUAUUGUUUUUCUGCUUGAAUNNNNNNNNNNNNNNNNNNNNNNNNNNNNNNNNNNNNNNNNNNNNNNNNNNNNNNNNNNNNNNNNNNNNNNNNNNNNNNNNNNNNNNNNNNNNNNNNNNNNUUUUUUGAAACCCGGGUAAGUUUUUUUGUUGGGCCCUGUCCCCCUUUUUUACCCCCCCCAAACCCCCUUGUUGGUAAGGCCCCCAAAAAAUUUCCCCAGGAAAAUUUUUUUUCGAAGAUUUCAAAUUUUUUUAAAUUUAAAACCCCGGCUGGGGGGGGUUUUUGGAAAAUUUCCGGAAAGUGUAAGGGUUAAGGGUAAAUUUUCGCAGUCUCACAAAAAAAACAGGAGGGAACUUUGGGGGGGGGGUGACCAAGAAAAAACCCAAAAAAGGGGGUUUUUUACGUGGCCCCGACUUGGCAAGGGGAUGUGGUAAAGAAAGGUUAAAAAAAAGAAAAUGGGGCCCCACAAAAAAAAAAGGUUUUUUUUCCCUUCCUAAAAAAAAAAAAUUUGGGGCCAAAAAAAAAAACCCCCCCCCCCCCCCCCCCCCCCCCCCCCCGGAAUUCGCUAGACUGCCAUGUGCUGCAUUACGAACAUCUCAUGUUCAGAUCCUACUCUUGCUAUGUGUAGGGUUGAAGGAGGCAUAUUGCAUAUACAUGGGAAUGUCAAUGACUCGGAUGAGACACGGUGGCUGGACAAUGUUGUUGAAUCCAUCAGUAACAUUGCCAAAGCUCACGGUAAAACUGCUGACAUGCUUUUUUGAUCUGUUGCCAACCAUUUCUUGUUGCUCUCCAAGAGUAUCACGAGUGCUAUGUCUCUAUUCUUAUACACCAUUCCCUGGCCUUUGUAAUGCAGGACUAUCUUGGAGUGUCUCUUCGGAGCAUGUCGAACGUGUCAAAUGGUAUGGGCCACAUAUUCGACACCUUGUGGUUGACGUAAGAUGCCGGCCAAUCUAACAAAGCAAACGCGUUGAGAAAUGCAUUCUGUACUUACCGGGCCCUGGGAUGCUCGGGCGCAUUGUUGCAUACUGUAUUGUACUACAGUUAUGUUCGAUCGUGUUUUAGCCCAGGAGUUGCUUUUUACUCUCGUAUUAGCCAUCAGGGAGCCUCUGUAACCUUAAAAAAACAUGUUAUUGACGAAAUUUGCAACUACAGCAAAGUUGCGUUCUUGUACGGAUUAUUUUAUGUACCAUUUUACAUUAAAGAUAAUUUAUGCUGUUUCUGAACAUUUUAGUAGUUAUUUCUGCAGUUGCUAAUGGCAUAGCACACUGUUGGGUAUUUGCAUUGAUUCCGGUAGAGGUCAUGGGACUCUAGUGAAAAGUAUAAUACAAGCCUAUUUUAUUUUGAAGAGGAAACAAUACGUAUGUUGUAUAUUUCUGCCAAUACUUGGGCAGAUUACAAGUAUGUUUAGGGCCUGUCGAGGUAUUUUUACUGACCAUGAUUUUGGUAAUUGCAGCACUAAUGCAGUAUUUUAUUCAAGAAGGCUAACCGAUAUAUACGGCACAAUUUUCAUGAAAACCUCGCAUGUCAUACUGCUUUGUCCCAAAAGAAACAAAAAGGAGUGGCACUUGUUUUAUAUUUUUAAGUCUAGUUGUUUUAAGUUUAAAUGGAUUUAUAUGGAAAAAAAAGUAUCACCAUCUAUGCCAUCAAAUAUGUAUGUUGUAUGGUAUGAAAUAUAUUUCAUGACAAAUUUAAUAAAACUUAUUUGGUAUUAUAAAUAUUGGUGUACUUUUUAUAAAUUUUGUAAACUUUUAGAUGGUUUAACUUAGGACGGAGUUAUGAGUGUAUUUUUUUUUUGGUGGGGUGGGGUUGGGGAGGGGGGAGAUUGAAGUUAUUUCUUUCGACGCUGAUUGAUUACGAGAGUCUAUCACAGCUUCAAUGUUGAGAAAAAAAAUUGGAGAGUAUGAGCGGAUUUUUUUUAAUAUGACAUUUUUUAAAAAGAAACACCUUGAAGUUCUUGAUACUAUUGUAUUUUGCGAAACAACUAUGAUAUUUCUUCAACACUAAAAAAAAAUUCAGCCCCCUAGGAUACACAGUAGAAACUAUACAAUUGGAUACGUAUCUUACCAUGAUUUCAUGCUACAUUGUUGAGAACAUAAUUGAAAGCGAGAUUUUAACAGACCAAAUUAAGAUGCAAAAUGCACUUUUUAUUAGAUGAACUUCAAUAAACAGAAGAAAGGGACAUUAAGAUACUACAAGGCAAAAAAACACGAGCAAAAAAGAUAUACACAAUCAUCUCUCAACAAUGCAAAAGCAACGUCCAUUGUAAGCCUUCAUCCAGCUACCAAGUACCAACCAUGAAGGAAAAAGAGCAAAAAACAGUUACUAAUGGUACACCGUUUCUACAAUGGGAACAUGCUACUUGAGCCUCAUCGGCUGCUGCAUCCCUCCUCUCAUCAUAGCGCAAAAUUCCUCAUAGUUAAUUCUUCCAUCCUGGGACAGGCAAAUGACCAGCAUCAAGAAGAUGGAAGGAAUACAUGUAAUGCAGCAGAAAAGACGAUAGUGUAAGCAGCUUACAUUGUCCGUGUCAACUUCUGAUAUGAUCUCCUUUAUCGUACUCGUGUCGCCCAUCUCAUGCUCGAUCAAAGCUGACUCUAGCUCAUCUCUUGUGAUGAAGCUGCAUAAUGUCAAGGUAAUCCUCCAUGUUAAACAAAAACAAGUUAUGCAUAAGACGUACUUUGGAAGAAAUUGGUGCUAAUAAAUGUGAACCUGUGAUAGUAUUAUAACCAAUAGUUUAGACAAGUUUUGAUGGAAAAAGAAGGGGUGACUUAUUGGUUAGCAUUUGAGAUGUCAAUUUGAAGUACUCACCCACUGUUAUCUUUAUCAAAGUACUGGAAUGCCUUGAACAAAUGCUCAUCUCGUUCGAGCUUGUGUCUAUGCAUUGUGGCAGUGAUGAACUCAACAUAGUCAAUGGAUCCAUUCCCAUCAACAUCAGCCUGGAAAAUGCCAAAAGGUAAGCAUGCAAGGAAGCCAAGAACAAGAUUCCGAAAGUGUACAGUAACUUAAUUCCAGAUUAGAACAUACAGCCUCCAUCAACUGCUUUACUUCAGCUUCUGACAGCUUUGAUCCAAGUUUGGCUAAUCCUGCUUUGAGUUCUUCGUAUGUGAUUGUACCACUGUUGUCUGUGUCCAUGUUCAUGAACAUUUGCUUCAAGCCCUUGAUCUCUUCCUCAUUAAGGUUUGAAGCAAUAACCUGCACAUACAUUUGGUAAUAAGCACAAAUGAAGGGAAAAAAUAGCUAAGCAAGCAUCAACAUGAAGAUAAUAACCUUCAGAGCCAUCUUUUUCAGCUUAUUCAUUGCUCUGAAUUGCUUCAUUCUAGAAAGAACAGCACUGUCAAUAGGCUUAUCAGAUGCGUCUCCACCUUCUCUGAGCCAAGGAUGUUCUGAUCAAGCAUUUAACGUACAAAUUAUUAUUAUUAUUAUUUCUGAAAAGUUGCUGAAUUAGAAAUUAACGCAGUGCUAGAAGCUUACGAAGAACUUGACCCGAAGUAAGUCUUUUCUUUGGAUCUCGUGUCAACAUCUUCCUAACCAGGUCUUUAGCACUCUCAGAAAUUGAUGGCCAAGGUUGACUUUCAAAGUCAAUCUCCUCAUGCAGAAUAGCAUCAAAUAUCCCCUUUUCGGUUUCUACACAGGAAAGAAGAGGAUAAAUAAACAAAAAAGGAUAGCAUUGCUGCUUAAUAGUAGACAUGUAAUAUGUUGAAGUGGUUCUUAGAGGUACAUGUACCAGCCCAAAAUGGAGGCACGCCACUGAGAAGAAUGUACAACAUAACACCGGCACUCCAAACAUCUAUCUCUUUUCCGUAGCUACGCCUAAGGACUUCAGGAGCAACAUAAUAAGCACUUCCAACAAUGUCCCUGUACAUCUUUCCUGUUAUGUUCAAAAGGCAGCCAGUGAAGAGAUAAUGAGAAAUCCCAAAGCUAGAAAUUUAGGGUCUAAUGCUAUUAAUCAUCAAAAACUUACUGCAGUUUGUUACACCAAGUUCCCUUAAUUAGGAAUUAUAAAAAAAAUAUCCAAACACUGAGAUCACUGAUGGAAAUGUCCAAUGAAAAAAUACGGUCUACCUCCCCACAGCAAGCAAUUUUCUUAUUUUCAUAUAUUCUGCAAUUGCUAACAUCACUAAAUAUUUAUACAUCUCCCCAAAUAUAAGGAUCGCCACUAAGAGGACAAUAAGAUUCUUAAUGUGAUAGCAACUGGGCUUCAAACCAGUCAAACAUUAAAAACCAUUGAGCUAUCAUCACUAGUUUACUAGUGGUUUCUCACUCAUAACUGAUACAGAACCAGCUUCAUAGUAUUCGAUGCCUGAAACUGAACAUGGCAACAAUCACCAGUUUUGGCUGGUUCUCUGUGAAGCUAGGCGGGAUCAACAGGUAUUCAAGUGACUUAAGUACUAUGGCACAUUAUGUUUACACUUUGCAGUAUCAAAAAUGUUGCCCAUGACAUGUCCAAAAAGGUGUGAAUUAUCCACAAGCUCUUGAAUUGCGUGGAAUGAAAAAGUGCCAUAAGUUCUAAUGACCUGAAAUCAGAUUGUAUAUGGAAUGCUAGCCUUAGCUGGGUUGUUCAGCAAUAUGAACACUGAAAACUACAACCAGCCACGAACCUCAACAGAUCAAAGUUCAGAAAUAUAUGUCUAAAUGCUAUUGCAAAUAAUGCACAUUCCAAGCGUACAUAGAUCAUAUAUAUUCGAAUUACCUUCUUCAAUAAAGACCGAAAGCCCAAAAUCAGUGGCCUUGAGCAUUGCAUUCUCCUCCUUAGUUGCGAGCAAGAAAUUCUCUGGCUUCAGAUCACGGUGCAUCACUCCCAUGAAGUGGCAAAUGUUCACAACAUUCACAACUGCUCUGCAGAUUGUAGCAGCUGCCCGUUCUGUGUAGUGCCCCUUAGCAAUGAUCCGGUCGAAUAGCUCGCCACCUGCACAGAGCUCCAUCACCACAUGCACAUUGCUCUUAUCCUCAUACGCUCCCCUGAACUCGACAAUGUUUGGCUGUCCGGACAAAUGCUGCAUGAUCUGGAUCUCCCUGCGGAUGUCCUCCCUAUCUGCCUUGCUGGUGAGCUUGCGCUUAGAGAUGGACUUGCAGGCGUACUGCCUGCCUGUGGCAAUCUCUGUGCAGAGGUAUGUCACCCCGAACUGGCCCCGGCCAAGCUCCUUCCCAAGGGAGUAGACUGUGCGCACAUCCUCGUACUGCUUGCCAAGAAUUGUGUCCCCUGUGGGCUUCGGUGGGACAACUACAGGUGGGACUACUGGAGGGUUCAUCGCCGGCGGCGUGUACCGUACCUCAGUCGGUGGCGGAGGAGCAUUGUAACUGGGAGGUGUAUGUGCUGGCUUUGCCUGGUUAGAAUAGCCAUACCCAUUGGUAACUCCCCGUCCAGAAUCCGGGGCCGUAGCUCUGCUGCAACACUGACCCAUUUCUCUAGUCAAAUUAUUCCUUCGAGUUCCAAGCUUGCAACCUGGCUGCUGAGCAGAUUAGAACUAUCAAGAACUGAACCUGCAGGGAUUCCAAGGAGGAAAGCAAUUGUGUCAAAACAAAGCAAACCAUUCAAGAAAUAUUUAUGUUGUACUUUGAGAGUCAUGAUUCAAGACAAGAUAUCCAAUACUGGAUCUGCAAGCAAAACCCAAACAAUAGGACUCAAUAAAGAAUAGUAGAAGAGUACAAAAGAAGCAAUGCAAAGAAUUGCCUCUGACACGACGUUGACCUCUUUCUACUCUGAACCCAAUUCAAAAAACGCAAGAACUACAAGGAAACAAGGCAGAUGACCAUUCCCUUUGGUGGCACUGGAAGCAAUAAGGAGAUAAGGAUACAGGCAAGUUUAGGUAAAGAGAGGCAAGGAAAAGGGCCACUGAAAGCAACAGCAUCAACAAAGGCAGUCGGCACUGAGACCCAGGGGAAAUAAAGGAAGCCACAAGACCCAGGAUUCCGUAUCGUAGCAAUGGAUUGAUCGAGACAAGCGGAAAAGAUAUAAAUAAGAUAUAACAGCUCGGGACUGCACUAAAAUUUCCCUGUGCGAAGAAUUUCAGAAUACGAAAUCCACUGAAUGGAAGAACAACAGAAGCAAAAAAUAAAAGACGAACAAAUUGCUAAAAGAGGAGGUAUGGAAGUAGACUGCUUCGUACGUGAGGCAUGAGUAACAUGGUAACAGAUGAAGCUGUGUAGCACUACUCCAGAUCCGGAAACACAAGAUUCUACUCGCGACCAAGUGAAACCUACCAAGCUUCCAAGAACGAAAAAAGGGGACGAUAAUCCCCGCACGGAAUCACACAGCAACCUCCCCGAUCCAAGAAACCAAGAACUGGGCUAGCAGACACACCUACCUACUGAGAGGAACAGGAUUCCAACCUCAAGAGACCCGCGGAAGCAACCACCCCUCCACCGCAGGAAGAACUGGGCUCAGGAGAUAGGUCUAAAGAUCAAAUCUUGGAGGAGCAGCGGAGAAGGUUAGGAGGGAGGACAGAGCAAGGACAGCUCGGCGCGGCGACCGCGGGGAGUGGAUUGGAGGUGGUGGCCACCGCAAUUGGCGCCCCCGCGUCGAUCGUGACAGCGACUAAUCCACACGGGGCCGGGAGCUAAAGAUCUCGCAGCGAGUAAAAUAGCCAGGCCGAAUUUCUCCAAGGAAAAGGUUGACAGGGAGAAGAAAUGGGGGCGGCGUGUCUUGAGAAAAAAAAAAAGCUCUAACCUUGCUUUGCUGUCAGUUUAGAUAUUUGCGUUGCUUUACGGGAAGACGCGAAUGGGGGGCGGCGGUUUUGCGAAAGGACCCUCUGGGUUUGUCUAUAUUAGGUGCAAACACGCCUAAUUUCCAUGAUUAAGGUUCUGCUUGUUCUAGUUCUAGCUUAACAGAAUAUGGAUUGCGGCUUGCGUGUUAUUGUCAUCUGCCAGAUAAAACAAAGUAACAAACACCAUGCAGAUUGUAAUCGUAACCUAGGAGCUAAAACAAACAAGGAUAAAAACAGAGGAAAGCCUGAUUCAUUACCUUGCAUACUUCCUGUGUUUAUUAAAGAUAAAAAAAUGAUUUACUUUCUCAAACUACUGGAUUGAUGGUCAAUUGCUGCUUGUCAAUGCAAGCUCUCUUCUCCCAGACAUCACGCCAUCAUCUUCAACCUUUUCACUUUUGGUAUUUUAGCUUAACUUUUUUUUGCGAAAAUUUCUUUAGCUUUGAACUUGAAGGACGCUUGAGUAAUAAAAACUGCGAAGAUUUUUAUUGUGUGUGCGUGCCCUGCUAUGUUCUUUUUUAAAAUAAAAUAAAAAAAAUCAGCCCUGCUAUGUUUAAACUUGAAGGACGCUUGAGUAAGAAAAACUUUAGAGAUUUUACUGUGUGUCCGCCCUGGUACGCUUUGAAAUGGACAGGCUCUAUGCUCUGACGCAGAAAAGGAAGGAGGUUAAUAACACGCAAUAGAAAAUUCUCGGACAAGAUGCGAGAUCACAUCUGACGAUCCUUUUUUUGUUCCACUGCAUGUUUAUCUUCUACGCGCUUUCUCAGUCGUCCAACUGCAGUGCGGUAAACUAAUGAUUCCCUGACAGCUAGUGCGAUUAAGGAGAGAUUUAGUUAAUCGCGUGGCAUCUUGAGGUACGAUUAGUCCUGUCCAUGACUAUAAAGCUUUGAUAGUUUAAGUUAACGACCCUGUUAGUUGACUAGGUGUUGAGCGAGGAUAUGGUUUAGGUUCGUGACAGUCUACCUGAUCACGCAAAGAUUCUCCCGACGGGGAAUGUUUUUGGUGCCGUGGAAUAGAUGACUAGACGUGCAAAGCACCCAAGCAUGUCAUCCUUUUUUUCAUAUAUUUAUUACUGAAGCAAGAUUAUGUUUUUCUUUUUUAAAUAUCAAUCCUCAUAUAUAUGCAAGGGCAUCUCCUGAAUAUGAGUUAUGUAUAUGUCAUUACUCAUUAACAAUUUUCUCACUAAACUAUCGACAGUUCUACGAAUUUAAACCUCCUUUGAAACAUAGGAUUCAUUUAGGGAUUUGUAGGAUUGAAUACUAUACAGAUUUUCCUGUAUAUGGCUUAUUGGAAUAAGGGUUGAUGGCAGUUCUUUGGAACAUAGGAUCCAUAGAGCAAAUUUGGAGGAAAUUUAAUAUGAGACCUAACUACUUGUAAAAUUUCUAAUCCUCUUUCUUCAUAUAUUGCUUCCAAACACUCUAUUAGGAACUUUCAUGUGUUUCCAAUUCUCAUAGGAUUGCAAGUGAUGUGUGACUCCAAUCUUCAAUAAUCCUCCGUUACAAAGAGACCCUAUUCAUAUGGAAUAAAAUAUUAUAUAAUCUACAUGUGUCUGAGUGCACUACAAAUUGAUUACUAAUUGAUAUGUCUCUAUGUGGAUUUAUAAAUCCUAGAAAGGGACAAAUGACUCAUCUUUCAUCAAAAUGGACCCGCACUAACGCUCCGGUCUUAUAAACUUCCUUAUCACACUCUCCUCUCAGAGAGGGCACUCCCAUCCAAUCCCACCGUAGUCCCCAAACUCUUAUCCACCUCCAUAACCAACCUGUUGCUCCCCUAACAUUUAUAUUGGUGUCAACCAUCCUCUUUCCGAUGCCUCAACGAAUCCACGUAAGUCAAGGGGGUGUUUGUUUCUUUAGUCCCUCCUAAAAUUCCUAUCACAUCGAAUGUUUAGAUACUAAUUAGGAAUAUUAAACAUAGACUAAUUGCAAAAUCAAUUGUACAAAUGGAGACUAAUUUGCGAGACGAAUCUAUUAAGCUUAAUUAGUCCAUGAUUUGACAACGUGAUGCUACAGUAAACACGUGCUAAUGAUAGAUUAAUUAGGCUUAAUAGAUUCGUCUCGUGAAUUAGCCUCCAUCUGUGUAAUUAGUUUUAUAAUUAGCUCAUAUUUAGUCCUUCUAAUUAAUCUCCGAAUAUUCGAUGUGACAUGAAUUUUAGUCCGGACUAAAGGUCCAAACACCCCGUAAGAUUGAUCAUGUUGCAUGCCAUUUUUCAUUUAAAUUCCAGUGACGUGAACUCUGAUAGACAACCGAUGCAAAUCGUGCUCUAUAACAAUAUACCUAAAUUCCCAUCUAUUCAUGAUAACCUCUUUCACAACUUUAAUCUUUGUCUAGGUCUAGUCAUGGGUCCUGACAAUCACGUUACACCUUUUUUUUUUUUGCUUGUUUGCUGAGGGUAUGCAUGGAAUCACUGCAAGCAGCAAAGUUGGUAGGAUGGGCAUGUCCAUGAUUGUUCCUGGUGGGAGAAGAGACAAAGUGGCCUGUGAAAACAAAGUUGUUGAGGUGGUGGGAGGGGUUAGGCAAGGCAGGCCGUGAUUUGGACGCUGGUUACGCGCACAUGCCGCACGUUGUUGUUUACUCGGCAGAGCCCAUCUUUCCUGUCAUCCCCUGCCGCGGCGGACGCCACAUGUGCCGGGGCCGGCCGCCUCAAUUCCCAAACCCCAACGGACUCAACCGGCGGGAUUCAUUUGUUUAUGUGCGACUUGGGCCCGUCCAUCAAUGCAGGUAGGGCGGUGGCGUAGAUCACUGUUGAAUUUGAAUAUCUGCCGUCCCGAAUUUACUACUCCUAUGUCAGUGUUUGAAUUUUCCGCGAUUUCAUCCGUACUGAAUUAGUAAUUUCCAUAAUAUCUCAAACGAAAUGCCAUUGCAAUCCCGCACAAGUAUUUCUUUGGGUGCGAAAUUGAUAUUACACUCUUUGUGUCACUGUCGUUGGACAAAUUACCGAGCAGUAGUACCGUACAUUGGAGCCGAGCGUUGUUAAGAAGUUAAUUGGAAGGACCAUACUAUUGUCAAAUUGGUAAUUGUGGGAACCGCAGUAUCUGGUACAGGGUGUUUUCCAUCCUCAGAAUACUAUUGUCUCAGAAUACUAUUGUCGUUUUGAUUUUUUGAUUUAUAGACUUUGCUAUGUACUUAGAUAUACGUUAUGUCUAAAUACAUAGAAAAACUAUGACUAGAAAAUCUAAAAUGACGAUAAUUUGAAACGCAGGGAGUAUAAGGAGAAAACAGCUGAUGAUCGAUAAUACCCGAAGGACACAUCAAGAGAAAAGGAGAAGAAAUCGCUAUUAGAAUCAGUACGGUUGAGCUAGGUGGAGUAGCUGGAGUUCAUCGAUUCAUUUGACCAGCUCUCACCUUCAGUUCAGAUAAGAGGGGCAGCUGUUUACUCCACUGAUGAGCAACGUGCGACGCAUCAAGCUCUGCUUCGUGGCGCAAAUUAUUGGUGCGAGGAUCUGAAGUGUGUGGAGUUUAAAAUUAAUCUUAAUGCACAAUUUUAUUGUAGUGUUACCUAAACUGUAAACUAAGUAAUUGUGCCUGCUGAAUUUCAUGGGGAUGAAAAUUUCUCUCUCAAUUUAUGAAACUCCAUCAUCUCUCUUCUCAUAAAAUUACUGAUGCAGUAUAGAAAUUAAUGCUGAUGAAAAAAUUUUAAUGAAACUUCCUGGGACAGACUUAAUUCGGUGCCGGCAUCGGAUCGCGUGAAUCUGGACAAACGACUCCUUGGUUCGAUGCCGUGGUUUGCAUACACGUCCCCCUCGUCAAAAGUCCCUGCUAUGACCAUACAACUCUUUAUAUAUUUUUUUUUAUAAUUUGCCGCGCCAGCGAGCUUCAGUUAUAAUACUGGCCUUACAGGGGAGGGUUAACUUGGAAGCCUUCUUUAUCAAUUAUCAUUCUCCUGACGGAUCUUUCUCUUCAUUUUCCAAACCACCUGGCUGCCUUGGCCUCUUUUUUUUUUUUGAAAAGUAACUGCCUUGGCCUCUACAACCACUCCAAGCAAAGUAGCAAACCGUCUAGCCCCACUUGGCACACAACCACACCACGGCAAGUGGUUUCGGUGGGGCGUAUACCACACGUUGUCUUGAGAAAACAAUGCCUGCCACUUGUGACCAGGGAUUGCAAAAAGGAUUUGGUCCUUCAAGAUCGAGUUGCCAUCGUCCACAACAACUGAGAAGAUCUCAGUAAUCAACAACCAUGAUGACACCAACAAGCCAAACAGAGAAAUGGACACUGGCAUCCAGGCUCAAACACGAUCUCAACAAUGUUGCGUAAACAGAUAGAUAUAUCUGGAUUCGAGAUUACAGGCAGAACAACCAUGUCAGCAGAAAACGAACAACGAGUCUAAAUGCUGCGACCAUAUUUAACACCAAUUAUCUGGGAUUCCAAACACAAACUAUAUGGCAUUUGUCAAACCCUCACUCAGAGGAUGCAAACAUAUAAAGCCUAUGUAUCAAUUAUUGAACUACUAACUCAAUCCUUGAGUAGUAACAGCCUCACAAGCUUGAAUCUCCUGGUAUCGAUUUGUGCCAUCAGCGAGCCUGAGACGAGGACGGAGGUGAAGCAGGGAACUAGCUCACGAACAGGCACAGUAUCACAUUUCAGAUGUAGAGGUUGGCAGGUUGCAGACACUAAAGGUAGUACCCACUAAGUCCCUCUUAUCAGCAGCAGGGCCCUGAAACAAGCUAAGGUUUGACGUUACAUCUUAUUCUUUUAUAACUGUCAGCAAGGAUGUGCAUUAUUACUCUUACUCCUAGUACAGCAUCAAAAGCCAGGUUCGGAUGAACUUGCGACAUGUACCGAGUAUGUCAUACCGAUAAUAGGUUACGUUUUCUGAACGGUAAAAUCUGUGCAAAGUGAAGCAAUGAGGCCCCUCUUCAACAGCGGUGUACUGAGCUCCAAGGUGGAGGAUUCACCAUGCAGGCGCCUUUGACUUCUCCACAAGAAUGAUCCUUCCAUUCCACUCAGUCUCGUCACAUGCACGGAUUGCUGCAUCAGCAUCCUCAUCCUUCUCCAAGGAUAAGAACCCAAAGCCACGAGAAUCUCCAGUUCUGUAAGGAAUGAAAACAGUAGUGAGUAACUUCACUCUAAAAGUGACAUAAGAGUACAAAGGCAAAAUGAUCGUUUCUCAAAAGUUACUGCAUGCUGCGAACUAGCUAGAUAGGGCACUGAAAACCCAGUAAAAUUUGUCAAGUUAUAACACAAUGCACAGAAGUACCAAAGCACUCAUCAAUGCAAUAGAAGCUUUCUUAUAGUUAAUCGGUAAAAAGGUAUGCCAGAUCAACUCCAAUGCUGACUGCUUCAACUUUUUAGUAGAUUUGGCAGGAUAAAAUUACCAAUUAACCUCUUGAUGUUGAGCUGUAGGUACAAUGAUCUCAAGGGAAAUGCUUAAUCAUUUAAGGAUAUUCCCAGCCAAACACUUCCCCUUUCCUCUUUUUCUCAAACACAUAGGAGAACUGCACAUCAUUGUAUUAAGAAGAGCGAAAACGUUUUACAAACGGAACACACACACUCUUACUCUAGUACAUUCGCGACACACAAAUGGGAAAGGCAACCAACAGAGGCAGGUCAUGGCAUCAAGGCACGCAGAUCUUCAUUUUCCUCUCCCACACAUUAGUUGAUCAUUUCCACCACUUUUCAGACUGCUCGGUUGCAAUUUGCUCUGAUCUAUUGACUAAAAGGUCCAUUGUUUUGUAUAAUUUCACAAAAACAGAAGCCAAGGUUGUGUUUUUAAGUUAUACACAUUUAGCCAAGAAAAAAAAUUGUUCCCAUCAUGAUUCUCUCUUUUAGAAGUCCACAUGCCGAACACUAGGUACAAGGAGCUUAGAAACAACGCAGACUUGCAUACCAAAAAGUAGAACUUAUUAUUCUAGACUUGUUUGGAAUGUUGAACCCAAACUAGAAGAAUGGUUUAAAUAACUACACUAUUUAACAUUUAAUUGUGCAACAGCUUCAUAAACCAGCAAAAAAGCAUUCCAUUCAAAUUUGCAAAAGCUUCACAAAUCACAGGGUAGCCUAGCCAAUUCCCAUGUGUGAGCAAUCCAUUUUUCUUUCAGUAAGGUGCGAUCUAUCCAAUGAUAACACUACCCUAUGAAACAACAGUAUUAGAAGUGCUGAUUGCUCAAACCAGAAGACUGGCAAGAAAGAUUGUUAAAAACAAUACCAAAGGAAAGCUGACAGGAUAUAGAAGUAAGUACCGUUUAUCGCGAACAACACGUGCACUUGUUACGCGUCCAAAUUUGCAAAAUUUCUUCUCCAAAUCUCGUUCAGUGGUGGCAUAGCUAAAUCCUGCAAUGAAGAGAUUCUUUCCAGGCUUACCCAAUCCAGUCUUCCUGUUGGCGGGUGGUGACCAAUGAUGCCUUCUUGGUGAAUUAUGGCGAUGACUUGAUGAGGGUGAUCUUCGCCUUGGUGAAUGCCUUCUGCAACAUCAAAACAAAUAGAAGAAAAUUAACUAGAAGGCAGAAAAGAUAAUGAAGUGAAUGCAAAAUAAAUAUGUCUACAAUAGAAGUACACACAAUACAUUUGUACUAUUCAAGGAUGCAUGGCCAGACAGCAUAUAAUAACAAACAUGAACAUGGUGCAAUCAUUUAAAGGAAUUUAUAAUUUCAGUAGCCUGCAAGUCACUCAUGGUAAGGAAUUACCUUGGAGAUCGUCUGUGGUGAUCUCUUCGGUGGGGAGACCUUGACCGAGAUCUAUCAUGUUCCCUUCUAUGUCUAUCAUGUCUUCUUGAAGGUGACCUUGAUCUUGACCUAUCCCUCCUUCUUGGGGAGUCCCUCCUCCUCUUUGGUGAAUCCCUCCUCCUUGGUGACUCUCUCUUCCUUGGUGAUUCCCUCCUCCUAGGUGAGUGCCUCCUCCUAGGUGAGUCUCCCCUCCUUGG